This 56655-nucleotide long non-coding RNA is filed under the name Triticum aestivum (bread wheat). RNAcentral describes it as "long non-coding RNA (TAES_LNC008946)". The stretch from base 17251 to 17337 matches the Rfam family "MIR1120/MIR1122 microRNA precursor family". The record is from RNAcentral. Lineage: Eukaryota; Viridiplantae; Streptophyta; Magnoliopsida; Poales; Poaceae.
UUUUUUUUUGCGUAAACCCCAGCUUUGGCCUCGCCGAACGAGAUUUCCAGAGAAAAGCCAACUCCAGGAGCUUUCCUUUGUCCCCCCCACACCACCAGACGGAAAGCGAAAGAGGUUCGUUUGCUUUCCAGCCCCAAAGUUGCAAAUGCAACGCCGCCCGCUCAUGGAUGGAUGGACGGGUGGCGUUCAGGUUUAGGCGGACGACCACUGGUAUGCCGUGCCUGGCGAGAACCUGCGAGGCUACGACGGCAUUUUUCUCUCAGGGGAGAAGAAUCAAUCCCCCGCGAUGCCUAUGAGGCCAUGAUCGCUCGAUUUGUCAAAGGCUACCUAAAGAAAAAGCCUAAAACGGCAUCGCGAAAAUGGAGCAUUUGAGGAGGGGCCAAAGUCACGGGCCCUACUACGAGGCUACGACGAUCAUCCAUCCUACGGCGUGUGCGCUCCGUCCCUCCGAAUCUGCCUUUCCGGCCGGCGUCGCCGUCGCAAUCAUCACGGAGUGGCAACGCGACGCGCACCGCGAAUCUAUCUACCUCUCCUGCGACGGACAACUCCUUGCGAGACACAGCCGAUCUACCGGCCAAGGCGCUGCACGGCCACCCUGGGCGCCGUACGUACGCGCGCACCCUGCUCGCGCCCACGCGGCCGCGACCGCACACGAGACGAGCACAGUGCAAUGCAGGGCUGCUCGGUCCGUGUCGCGGCAGGGCAUGGCAGGAGCGGACGCGCACGGGACGGGACAAAACAGGACACCGAGCGCCCGCGCCCAGAGCGUUGGCUCCGGCACGCGGGCACGUGCCGCCUGCCAGCCCAGCCCUAGCGCUCUGCCCCCUCGAGGCCGAGCCGAGGGAGGGACACCUCGCCGUCGCCACGACCGAUGCUCGACCUUUCUUUCUCCACCGACCCCGCGGCGCAUUCCACGGCUGUCCCCGAGCUGGCCUCCACCCCACUCUCACUCACUCGGCUCCGCUCCUCUCACAAAGCGAGAAAGCAACAAAGAAUUCCUCUCCUCCCCUCGCCUCGAGAUGCUGCCAUACGCGUGGUGUGCUUCUACAGUACCACCAGCGGUUUUUUAAAGGUGACCAGGCCAGGCCAGAUCUGGAGCAGAGCGCCCCGCCCAGCCUCAGAUCCAUUCCGCUUCCGUCCGCGUGAUGCACGUACGAACGAGCACGAGCAUUCUUCUGCGACCUACUACGUACUACUACUACUAUACCAAUACGUGUACGAUAUCACGUACGCUCUUCAAGAUCCGAUCUGCCGGAGCAAGAGCUAAAAAUCAUGCUACGAGCUGAGCAGCAGUAGUAGUAACGAGGAUGCAGGAAGGGCACAGUAAAAGUAAAAGAAUAAUGAUACAUAUGGUGAGAUGAAUUAACCGGGGGAUUGUACAAUGGAACGGACAUGGAUCAAACACCACCACCAGCGACGACGACGACCAAACAAUCAGAUCUGUCCAUCCACGCCCAACACACACAUACUGCUACUGGUAACCGAAUCGAAUGCCGAAUGUAAUCAUCAUCAAAGCAACAAAAAGAAGGAAGAUGAACAGCUCGAAGAACACCACCACAAAAGGAGAGGGAGCGGGGCCCCUCGGAUAAAUUAAAUCGCAGCCGAUCUGCGGAUCUCUCAGUAGAAGGCGGCGGCGGCGGCCACGGCGGCGGUGGCGACCCACGCAGCGGCGGGGUGGACGGUGCCGGCGGCGCCGGCGGGGGUGGUGGGCGUGUCCAUUGACGGGGCGGGGGCGGNNNNNNNNNNNNNNNNNNNNNNNNNNNNNNNNNNNNNNNNNNNNNNNNNNNNNNNNNNNNNNNNNNNNNNNNNNNNNNNNNNNNNNNNNNNNNNNNNNNNNNNNNNNNNNNNNNNNNNNNNNNNNNNNNNNNNNNNNNNNNNNNNNNNNNNNNNNNNNNNNNNNNNNNNNNNNNNNNNNNNNNNNNNNNNNNNNNNNNNNNNNNNNNNNNNNNNNNNNNNNNNNNNNNNNNNNNNNNNNNNNNNNNNNNNNNNNNNNNNNNNNNNNNNNNNNNNNNNNNNNNNNNNNNNNNNNNNNNNNNGGGCGCGGGGGCGGGUGCGGCGGGCGCCGGCGCCGGGGGAGGGGUGGCAGGGGCCACGGCCGGCGGGGGGGACACCGGCGCCGGGGUCGGCGGCGGCAUCAUCGGAGGCGGGGACACCGGGGCCACGGGCGCGGGCAGCGGGGUGGCCGCCGGGGCCUGGGCCGCGGUGGCGGCGAAGAGCAUGGUCAGGGCCAGAGCCACGAGCUGGAUGCGCGCCAUUGGAGGAGUGGAGAGGAGAGCUUGAGCUUGAGCUUGGGUUGUGGAUUCUGCUUUUGCUCGAGGUGGUGGUGGUGGUGGUGUGUACUGUAAUGGUGUCCGAGACGGUAUUGGGCCGGGAGUUUAUAAAGGGGCCGCGGACGGGGCUACGACGAUGAAUUACGUGCACUAUCAGGGGCCUUGAUGCUAAUUUCCAUGCUGGGUAGCCGUCCGAUCGACAUCCAACAGCCGGUCUGGGUGGAAAGCUUCAACUCUUUUUUCUUCUCCGAACUUCUGACUUCUGAACGGCAACCAAGUUUUUUUCCAAACGAGCAGAAAAAUCUAGCUCAAUCCCAACAGCUGGCAGGCAUAAUUUUCUUUCUUUUAGUUCACGGGAAAUUCUCCCGCGAUCGCCUUGCCUAAUUUUGCUGAUUAUUUGCUGUUUCUCGUUAUGGUUCACGCGUAGUUCUGGUCGACGGUGAGCUGGGUUUCUCUUCCUGUUUUGCCUUGCCCAAUUUUGUCUUCGGUCGAUCAAUGUAAAAUGGCACGUAGCUAAUGAGCCAAUUGGCCCACGCGUUUGCGGCGUUCUUUACAGCGAUAAUAAAAUGUCAGAUUUCAAAACAAUGUUACUUUCCAAAGUCAAGGCCACGCGUAAAUGUGAAAUAGCAAGUGGUAUUUGCUAAUGAGCCGAUUGGCCCACGCGUUUGCGGAGUUAUCUCAUCGAGUUUUUCUUUACAAGGUAAUAAAAAAUCAGAUUUCAAAAACAAAGUUAUUACAAAGUCAAAGCGCUUUUUCUCGCAAUUACGUGGAUGACGCACACGCGCAAACCUGAAAUAUCAAGAAGUACUGUAUUUGCUAGUGAGUCGAUUGGCUCACACGAUUGCGAUGUUUGUGCAUCGAGUUUUCUUUACAAGGAUAAUGGAGGUCCAUUUUCAACAGCAAGGUUGCCUCCAAGGUCAAGGUGCUUCUUUAUGCAGCUACAACACACAUGUAGACACGCACACACACGCACUUGGAACCUUGUAAAUUUGGAGAAUUUCUUUUCUUUUCUUUUUUAGGGUUGGUUCAGCCCAUCUACCCGUAAAAGUAAACACUUGUGACUUUGCCAUGUUUAGUUGAGGUAAGAGGGUGCUUGGAUCCAAGAGACUUAUUUUAGUCUGACUAAAAAUAGUCUCUUUAAUAGGCUAAAGUUCCAAGCACCCCUGACUAAAGAGGGGCUAAAACUAGUCUUGAGACUAAAAAAAUUUAGUCAGGGGUACCCCUAUUAAAAUGUGGAUUAGUCCUCUCUCCUCAUUUAACUCCCCUCACUACUAGAAAAAGGCUUAUUAGUGGCGCACCAGUUUUGCCUACUAAUGGCGCACUACUGGUGCGCCACUAGCAUCACGCCACUAGUAAUUUUUACUAAUGGCGCACCGCUGGUGCGCCAUUAGUAUCUGGUACUCUAAUGGCGCACCGGGCAGUGCGCCAUUAGUAUAGGCCCCGGUGCGCCAUUAGUAUGCCUCCCAGUGGGCAUGUGCUUUGCCAUACUAAUGGCGCACUGCUGGGUGAUGCGCCAUUAGUAUCCUUUGGCAUACUAAUGGCGCACGUUUGGGUGAUGCGCCAUUAGUAUGUAUAUUAGGGAUUUUUUUUUCUUUUCUGAUAUUUGCACAGAUUACAAAAUAUAUUAUUGGACAGAAUAUAAACAACACCACACAGCAACAGCAGAUUCAUCGAAUACAAUAGAAGAUUAGUCUCCGAAUACAAUUCAUCAUAUUAGUCUCCGAAAUCAAAAGACCGAACAAAGAUAGAACAUUACAAGUCUCGAGACCGCGAGUAGCGAGUUUGUCGAAAUUAAUACUAAUCCUAACAAGUCCUACUAAUCAUCAUCAUACAACUUCUACUCGUUAUUAAUAACAAGUCAUACGAUCAUCAUCCUGAUAGUCAUCGAACCAACCCUACUUAAUUGUUCUUAGCACAUGAUCAUCAGUAUUAGGCAGGACCUAAAAUACCCUAUUUAAGGUAAAAUAGCAUAAAACGAUAUAGACCCUGACUCUCCAUUAUGGAGAAUGGAGAUCAUCCUGUCUCCAAUUCUUGCGCGGCGCUUCCUUUUGCUUCCAAGAACCUCCUUACGACUGUCCAUACAUUUUUUCUAUUCUCUGAUUAGCAUGUCUCCACUUCUUCUAGAAAUCCGGUAUGGACAGUUGAGAUUUGUAGGAUGACCUGGAUAUAAGUUCAAAACUUGAAGGCUGCCAUUCUGAUACAUCAAAUGAGGCACACAAUCCUCUGGGAUUCUCUGUUGAAAAACAUAGUAAUAACUUCAUAGUUAGCAAUGAUGUACUAGUUUUAGAAGUAUGCAAAAGAUGCACGGAUGUCGUAAUAGUAAAAAAUCUUAUCAGGGUAUCUCCAUGGUAGUUACCGUAGUUCAACACGUGCACUAGUGGCACGUAUUGACCAUAAUGUUGAGGAGUUUGAUUGUAGAUAUUGUAAUUCUCAAGAUCAGUACAAAAUCCGACCAGAUGAUUUUUCUCCUGAUAAGUUAACUCGGAGCCAUCGGUGUAGUGGGUUUUGUCUACCAUUUUCCGCACAUUUUUUGAACAAUCAAAAUAAGCUGUCAAUGGAAAUAAGUUGUCAACUAUUUUGAAAUAAACAAUAUAGAUUAGUUAAUAAUUAACUAUGUUUGAGAAACUCACAUAGCGGUAGAACUGGAGGCGUAUCAACAAGGACCCAAAUGUCCAUAUUGUCUUGGUCGAUGCCAGGAUCACCAAGAUCCAUGGUGACAAGCAUACCCUCAUCAAAACCAUACAUCUUGCAAAAUGCUUCCCAAUUUUUGCAACCAAAAUGGGUUACGCUCUCAGCAUUAUAUAGAUUUACUUCAAAAUCCACAUCAUGAUGUGUCCUUAGGUGAAUUUUCUUUGUUUCAAAAUUUUCAUGAUCUUCAAAAUCCAUCCUCUCCAAGACAUAGCGUCUUGCAUGGCAUGGGAUAAACUAUACUCGAAUUGUAAAAGAUGAAAUUACACGUUGAAAUAGUUGAAGUCAUGCUUAAUUAUGCAAAAAAUACUUGUCGUCGUUGCGUACCGUUUCAAUUUCGAAGGUCUCCUCGAGCUUAAUGCUGAAGCGCCGAUCAUCGUCCAGGUGAGGCCUGUCGCACAGACCUCGACCGUCGUGGCACCAGUCGCACUCCCCCGGGAGACUUUCGUCGUCCGAUGACGACAUUUCCUAUGUUCAUAAUUCAAAACUACAUCAUCUCUGUUGGGUCCAAUAAGAUAAUCCACAGUGUGGUGAAAACACGCCCAUCCAAAUAGAAUAUGUGGUAUGGGCUUUUUUAGUAGGUCAUCCUACCAGAUUAGGGUUUAUCGAUGACGAGCAACUGACAUUAGUAAUAACUAUGAGUAGAUAUCACACUUCUAUAUGAAUAACACAAGAGGCAGUUGAUCCUACUUAAUUAAGUACUAAGAUACCCCGGCCCAUGCAUUAGUCGGAAGUGCCCCAUAUGUCCUAUUUUUAGCAAAGUCAUGCUAAAAUUCACGGAAAAUUUCAGCAUGACCUUUGCUGAAAAUAGGACAUAUGGAGUACCCGAAUUUGCCAGAACGAAAGUUAAUCGACAUUCCGGCAAACUCAAGGGCCUCUCGGGGUACCUGCAAAAUCAUCACGACACGAUGGUCGCAGACAAAACCCAGCAAACUAGCAAUUGAUGGAUCAACACGUAAAACAUGUCCAAUAAGAGCAUAUAAUUCAACAACUCCACUGAAAAUGAGAGCUGAAAGAUGCAGGGAGCACAAACAGCUCAGAAAAAGGAUGCAGGGAGCACAAAGAGCUACACUCUGAAUCUUUUAUCUAUUUAUACAUGUAAAUUAGCACUCCGAUGCUGGCCUUGACAAAUGAUCCCACUAUGUUGUUUGCUGGAAUCUGCAAAAUGAUCCCACUAUGUUGUUUGCUGGAAUCUGCAAAAUGAUCCCACUAUGUUGUUAUACUUGAGAACACUGUAACAAAAUCAAAACCACAAUAAACAGUGGUCAAAUACAGAAGAAGGAACAAUUUAUUUGUACUAUAAAAAAGGUUAGAGAGAAAAGUUAAUGAGGAUGAGUCACAUAAACCAAUUCAGAUCACUCCCUCCCCAACACUGGCAAUGCUCACUAGAUCUUUAUAAACCUGGGUACUUGUUUGGGAUAAAAAUAAUAGAAGGGAUUUCAGGAAGGAGUUCAAAACAUAUAACAUUGGAGGGUUAGAUUCAAUUUAACCUCUUGUACCUCCUGUACAUGUGUGAAUUAAGGAGUAGCAAGCACAGGAACAACAAAAUUCAGAGAUGACAGAAAAUCAAGGCACAAAUUACACAGAACCAUGAAGCUAAAAUAUAACUAUUUAAAUCAAGGCACUAUUAGAAAAGACAACAUAGUUCAGUAAAGUCAUGAACAUAAAUACUGCAGAAUUUAGAGACCACUUAGUACUGUAAAUUCAGUUAGCAACAAGACAGAGAAAUUGCACUUAGAUUUCAAAGAAAAAUAUGACUACUCCACACUGUAAAUCAUCAACAUUGACACUGUAAUAACUGUAUACUCCACACUNNNNNNNNNNNNNNNNNNNNNNNNNNNNNNNNNNNNNNNNNNNNNNNNNNNNNNNNNNNNNNNNNNNNNNNNNNNNNNNNNNNNNNNNNNNNNNNNNNNNNNNNNNNNNNNNNNNNNNNNNNNNNNNNNNNNNNNNNNNNNNNNNNNNNNNNNNNNNNNNNNNNNNNNNNNNNNNNNNNNNNNNNNNNNNNNNNNNNNNNNNNNNNNNNNNNNNNNNNNNNNNNNNNNNNNNNNNNNNNNNNNNNNNNNNNNNNNNNNNNNNNNNNNNNNNNNNNNNNNNNNNNNNNNNNNNNNNNNNNNNNNNNNNNNNNNNNNNNNNNNNNNNNNNNNNNNNNNNNNNNNNNNNNNNNNNNNNNNNNNNNNNNNNNNNNNNNNNNNNNNNNNNNNNNNNNNNNNNNNNNNNNNNNNNNNNNNNNNNNNNNNNNNNNNNNNNNNNNNNNNNNNNNNNNNNNNNNNNNNNNNNNNNNNNNNNNNNNNNNNNNNNNNNNNNNNNNNNNNNNNNNNNNNNNNNNNNNNNNNNNNNNNNNNNNNNNNNNNNNNNNNNNNNNNNNNNNNNNNNNNNNNNNNNNNNNNNNNNNNNNNNNNNNNNNNNNNNNNNNNNNNNNNNNNNNNNNNNNNNNNNNNNNNNNNNNNNNNNNNNNNNNNNNNNNNNNNNNNNNNNNNNNNNNNNNNNNNNNNNNNNNNNNNNNNNNNNNNNNNNNNNNNNNNNNNNNNNNNNNNNNNNNNNNNNNNNNNNNNNNNNNNNNNNNNNNNNNNNNNNNNNNNNNNNNNNNNNNNNNNNNNNNNNNNNNNNNNNNNNNNNNNNNNNNNNNNNNNNNNNNNNNNNNNNNNNNNNNNNNNNNNNNNNNNNNNNNNNNNNNNNNNNNNNNNNNNNNNNNNNNNNNNNNNNNNNNNNNNNNNNNNNNNNNNNNNNNNNNNNNNNNNNNNNNNNNNNNNNNNNNNNNNNNNNNNNNNNNNNNNNNNNNNNNNNNNNNNNNNNNNNNNNNNNNNNNNNNNNNNNNNNNNNNNNNNNNNNNNNNNNNNNNNNNNNNNNNNNNNNNNNNNNNNNNNNNNNNNNNNNNNNNNNNNNNNNNNNNNNNNNNNNNNNNNNNNNNNNNNNNNNNNNNNNNNNNNNNNNNNNNNNNNNNNNNNNNNNNNNNNNNNNNNNNNNNNNNNNNNNNNNNNNNNNNNNNNNNNNNNNNNNNNNNNNNNNNNNNNNNNNNNNNNNNNNNNNNNNNNNNNNNNNNNNNNNNNNNNNNNNNNNNNNNNNNNNNNNNNNNNNNNNNNNNNNNNNNNNNNNNNNNNNNNNNNNNNNNNNNNNNNNNNNNNNNNNNNNNNNNNNNNNNNNNNNNNNNNNNGAGGGUGCGGUGGAUCGUCGGCGGCGGUGGAGCAGGGGAGCUAGGGUGCGGUGGGUCGUCGGCGGCGGUGGAACGGGGGAGGGUGCGGGGGCUCGGCGGUGGCGCCCGGUGGAGCGGGGUAGAGGGUGCAGGGGGUGCUCGGCGGCGAGGGGGACCGGAUCUGGCGAGGUGGGAUAGCGAUCGAGAUGGAGGGGGAUCGAGAUCAAGUGUCCAUGAAAUAUACACUAAUGGCGUACGGGGGAGCAGUGCGCCAUUACUAGCUUAAACUAGUAAUGGCCCCUGGUGCGCCAUUAGUAGUUUUGCAAAAAAGUAAAAAAUAAAAAAAAUAUUGUAGUGGCGCACUAUGCUGCUGGUGCGCCAUUACUACUAGUUACAACUAGUAAUGGCGCACUAUGUCCUGAUGCGCCAUUAGUAUGUCUGGCAAAAAAAAAAUUGUUGCUAAUGGCGCACCGUGUGUCUGGUGCGUCAUUAGUGUAUUUCACACUAAUGGCGCACCAGCACAUGGUGCGCCACUGCUACAUAGCAAUGGCGCACCACAUGUCUGGUGCGCCAUUAGUGGCCAUUCCAUCUAUAGCCUUUUUCCUAGUAGUGCCUCCUUUAACACAGGCGAGUUCUUGAUUCGAGGGUUUGAAGGAUAAUAAAUGCUCAUUAACUUGAUUUUAGUCUCUUCAGUAUUUGAAUUCAAGCAUGGGUGAGGCUAGCAAGUUUUAGUCUCACUACUUUUAGUCAUGAGACUAAAACGUAUCAAGCACCCUCCAAGGAUGUAGAAAAUAACCAUCAACCGAAUGCGACUGACUCAUUCCAAGAUGGUUUACCGAUUUACGUGUGUGGUUCACCCUGUACGAUCGGACCGAGUAUGCGAGUGUCAAAUCAUCAAACAUCGUCAUCUUUCUCAUCCAAAGAUCAAUAACCCGCAUUGUCUCAUCAUUUCAUGAUGUAUUGCGUUGCCUGAUAUACAUCAUAUUUUUUGCUCAGUAAAUAAAACUUGCAAAACUAGCAAGAGGCUGUACAUUGUGUAUGUUAGUAUGUGUGCACGCGCACGUCGUGGGGCACUUAUAAGGAAAAACGUCUUUCUAGAAAAAUAGCCAUAAAAUAGAGCUCCUUGUUUUGAUCAUUUCAUGAUAGCAUCAACCAGCUAAGAUUGGUUGCCUACAUAAUUAACACCUUCGGAAUGAAAUGAUUGGUUUGGUGCCGAUCAAUGGAGCGCACGUUGCCCACACCAAUUCUAUAUUGAGCCGUUGGUAGAUGAUUGGGUUGCUAUCAGCGUUUCUCCAUCAAAAUUUUGGGUUUACGACACAACGAAACGAGAAAGGAAUCACACUAACAAAGACGGUUGGAAAAACAAGAGAAAUUGCUAUUAUCAAGCUAUCUCUUCCGUGUAUUCUUCACGCACAUUGUUUGGCUUGCAAGUUUUGGUCUCCUGCCUGUUAUGUACAGCCUAACCCAAACCCUUUUCAAAACCUAAAGCUCCACACGUUUAGAUUGCUCGAUUUGGUCCAUAGGGUAUACCUAACAUGCCAAAUCUUUCCAGAACCUAAUGUGCCGUUCCUUUCCUUCUCAAAAUGUCCACCUUGUUCCAUAAGAUAAAUCCAAAGUUUUCCAACCUAAACCGUGCCCUUCCAAAGCCCAACGCUCCACUCCUCCAACGUUCAUAUUCUUUGGACAGAAGAUACACACGAUUGCACUUGUCUCAUUCCUAACAACCAUGUGGAAGAGUGUGAUUAUGUGGGUAGAUAGGCAGAGCUCUGAAUCAAACCGACAAAAGCAAGUCCCUGCCUGAAAGCAAGAGUUCAAUGGAAAUAUGGACUAAUCGCAACAAUGGAUGGUCCCUGAAAACUUACUUUGAAAACCAAGUUAAUUUACGAUUUUCAUAGUAACUUUGUCGAAACUCAUGUUUCAUUCCUUACUAAACUGGAAUCACUAUCUAAUUAUAAGAAACUCGUUUCAAACAUGCAACAAACCUGUUCACUACUUGAAUCAUUGUGCCUCCUUUUUAAGGCUUAAUUUGUGAUUGCCGAAUUGUGUUUUGUUAUGACGAUUUCAUAAUUACUAUGUAAAAUUAGUCACAAAAGUAGACAAAAGUGGUUCAAACAUACGCUCAAAUAGGCAAAAACAGAUUAGGCAACACAAGGUUAUCAUAAACCACCACAAUACCAAACUCAGCCUAAGUAAAGCUGACUUUUUCCUAGACAAGGAAAAUGCAAUGCGUAUAUGACAACGAUGUCAGAACAAAGCCAGUAAAGGCAAGAACACGAGUUUUCAUCUGGAGAUCACCUCUAGAAACCGAAGAUAACGCCAUCAAGGAGAUGAUGUAAGAGCAAUGUCGUUACCAAGUCUAGCCGACAAAGACCACAUCGAGUCUUUUGGCUUGGCGCACAAAAUCUAACAUCACUUGAUCCAACCAAUGGAGGCAAACUUAUUCCCGACGAUUGCGUCAAUGUGCGCUCUAGAUUUGGCAUCAUCCGAUGACAAGGAACCUCGCGCAAAACGUUAUGAAGGGGUCGCCACUCCGCCCUCGAUGCCCCUGCGACUACCCAUCGCUACCACCGCCUUGGCUUCCAUGCCAUAAUCCGCCGUGCGCCAUCCUCUAACGGGCAACCACCAUGACGGGAGAUCAACAAGAGCCCUACCACCGCCAUCCGUCGCAAGAUCUUUGCUCAUGGCAUCCCCCGGCGGCGGGGGAGGAGGAGGUGGGGGGAGGUAUGGUAGAGACGCUAACUUCCUUAACUCCAUUUUUUAUGUAAUAAAAAAAUAGAGAAAUGUGCCAACCAAUCUUUGUACUCCCUCCGUUUCUUUUUACUCCGCAUAUAAGAUUUGGUCAAAGUCAAACUAGACAAAGUUUGACCAAAUUUAUAUAAAAAAAUAUGAACAUCUACAAUACUAAAACCAUAUAAUAUGAAAAUACGUUUCAUGGUGCAUCUGAUAAUAUUGAUUUCAUAUUGUGAAUGUUUAUAUUUUUUAAUAUAAAGUUAGUCAAACUUUACCAAGCUUGACUUUGACCAAACCUUAUAUGCAGACUAAAAGGAAACGGAGGGAGUAUCUAAAAAUGUACACGACCAACGAAUAUCAUUGACCUUCUGAUCGACGAUAUAAACCCAUAUUCCCAUUGUUCUAGGCCGUGAGUUGCCAACAAACAUCCUGAUCCUGCCCGGAAUAUUAUCCACCGAAUGACAUCUGAGCCGAUCCGAUUUAACAAGAGCAAACUUGCCAAAAACAAGUCCGUUGGUUCGAUCAAAGCCCCGUCAGGUCCAUGGAGACGGGCUGUGGCCAGGGUGGAAGAUUCCGGCCGGUCGGCCAGCCGCGGUGUAGUACAGAGCUAUGUGACGCCGACGUACCAACUAAGCGACGACAACCACCAUCUUCCGAGUGAAAUGAAAUCUACGACUACGUGGGUGCAAGGCCGCUACGUGACGGCCGCGAACUCUGCUGGGCACUGUGAUAAAAAGUCGUGGAGGUGUCGUCUCCCAUGGCCCUGUUGCACGCCCACGAAGCAUGUAGUAGUGCUGCACAGUUGUAUAAAAACCGGAGAUGCCAAGUGGGCCACGGAGGUUAAUAGUAGAUGUCAUAAAAGAUCAGUGCGCAGCUAGGCAUUUUGCUUGGCCACUCAUCAAAGUGUUUACGAAGGCAUUGACUCAUGGCAAAUGGAUAGCAAAUCUCAUGCUACAUCAGGUAAAAGUGGGCAUUGCCUAAAAGAAAGGUAAAAGUGGGCAUAGUUUUCUUACCAAUUCCUGUGUCCGGGAGAAUUUUGUUCGGCAGUCGGUUGGAAGAAGUCCUUCACAUAUUCGGAAGAAAGUGGGCGCCUAAACCAGCUUGACAUAAUCAUAGACUGAAUGGGUCGUCGACAAAAUGAUUGGGAAUUUUUCCCAAGCAAAUUCAAAAUUCCACCAUCCGUUGGUUAAUCAAGAGGUGGUUGGUACCAGUAGUACUAGCGAAGCAGCCGCCAUCACAAAAAACAAUAGCACGAGCCAAAUCAGAAAGACAGCCGCUGCUUGCAAAGCAUGCCCCCACAGCCUUACGAUCGGGACCCCCUAAUAUAACAGGACAGCUAAGUUCGCCGGUGAUUCGCUCGUCUAAAGGCGCUCAUCUAGCUUCGUUUCGUUGUAUUUCCUCGUGUCUGGAGCUUGAUGGGAGGUUAGUUAGGUGGUCGCCAAUGAUUGAGGAUUACCUGGCUGUGAUGGAGGAGCUGGCUGGCCACAUUGGUGGGCGUUCAGGUGAGAUGGACAUGGGAACUCCAUCACAUGCCCGGUUCAAGCGCCGGCCCCGGCCCUGCCUGGCGAUCCCUGUUGGGGAAGCUGUAGCAUUUCUCAUGCCGCGCAUGUAGAAAUCUCCUGCGUGCCAACCGCCGUCGCCCUUGGCCCAGUGCGCGAUGAGCAUGGCACCGCCACGGCGUGGUCGCAAUCGCUACAUGCGGCUACAGGCAAGAACUCGGGGCAGCAUGUUAGUUCAGGGAAUUGAUGAUAUAAAAAUACCAGAACUUACCAUCAACUUCUAGCAUUAAUCAUGCCUCAUGGCUCCAUGCUUAAGAUGUUGCAAUGGGGCCUUUCAAGGCAAAUGCGCCCCUCGUAUCUUUAUUCUAGAAUGUUAUAAUGUCACAAAAACACAAAUUGACUUGCAAACGAGGGCAUUUCAGUGCCACAUUAUUAUAGGAACAAAGAGCUUGGUAGCCAUUCACAGGUCGAAGGAAGAAUGAAAGAACAGACAGCUAUGGACUAGAUUCCCUCCAGACUUCUUAUCCCCAACUAAAUGGCUAGCAACUUCAGUCUACUUACAUGUGGAACAGUGGAAACAAAGUGUGCCAUUAUUAGACAAAGCUCUAUAUACCAGUUGCAACUGUAGUCGAUUUCACAAAGAUGCGCCCGACUCCCAGCUCAAGAGUUUGUCACGCUUUGCAGCAUGCGUUGUCCAGGGCUAGGAGAGUAAGAUCCGCGUACUGUUUUAACCAACUGACAACUCACCAAAAUGAGUCGAAACUGACAUUAUUCUCAUGCUUCCUUCAGACUGUGGCCUGUCUACUCCAAUCUAUGGGCUUGCCUUGAGCAAGAUGGAAGAGAAUGGAGCAAUUCUAUACCCUGAUCCAGUAAGUGGCACCCCUUCCGGUGCAAUAUCGUUUGGUGAUUCCAGGUUGGUAUCCACCUGCAACAAGGACACAAUAGCAGUUUCAGGCUAAUUAUCCAUUAAACUUGUACUCCCUUCGAUCCAUAUUAAUUGACGCUGCUCUAGUACAAAGUUAGUACAACAUUAAACUAGAGCAGCGUCAAUUAAUAUGGAUCGGAGGGAGUAGCAAGUUCAGAACUAAGCCACUUGCUUCCAGAAAAUUGCAAAAAUCUAUCUUUCUUGGAAAACAUUGUGAGGAAAAUCAGUAGAUUUAUCCAAGCAAUAGAUGUAGUAGCACCGGAGGAACUAGACAGUACGACCACUGAGUUACAAAAAUUUAGCAAGACCAGAAACUAUGCAUACCACACGGUUCCAGUGUUUUUGUUGAGGGGCUGGGGGAAUCACAGCAUCCACAGAAUAGUCAUGGGCAUUGAAUGCCAAAUAGAUAUCUCCACCAGAGUUGUGGUCGUGUAUCCUACAUUAAUCGCCAAACAAAACAGUUGAGAAGACAAGAACUCAUUGGCCAUUGCAACCAAAUUACAACAAUACUAUCAUAUGGUCAGAAUGAAUUAUACGAUCAAAACUGAAAGCCAAACUUCCUUACGUGAAUGCCAAGAAUUUGCUUUCCAAGUUAUCCCAACAAUCCUCGUGCCAAGUGACAUCAUUCUACAAUCAAGAAAGAUCAGAAUGCAAUGAAAACCUUUGGAAGAAAAUCAAACCAAGAGUUGCAUACUUGAAUCCUACAAAAGCUAGGAAUUGUCGUUUCUAACAUGCAAUGCACAAUAAGAGACCAGGGAGAUCACAUACUUAGCAAAUACUCAACAGAAACUGAUGACUAUAUUUCAGUAAAGGAAGAAAUGUUUAUUUUCAAUACGCCAGUCAACUGCAAGAACAACACUAAGAAUUUGAACAUACUUUACUGAGAAACCUGUCCCGUUUCAGUAUUGGGUGGUUCUGACGGAACUUAAUCAUCUCUGAGAAAAACCUGAAAUGGCCAUAUCUUCUUUCCGCCAACUGUAUCACAUGGACAGGGGGGGAAAACAAGUUAGCAUAUAGAUGUGGCACAUCCAUAACACAUUUUGAAUGGAAAACCAAAAUAAUAUGUAACCUGUCCCCACUGGAAAUUGUUUAUGCAGGUAUCAUGUCCAUAGCUAUUAUUGUUUCCAUAACGUGUAUGACCAUAUUCAUCUCCCAUCAACAUCAUUGGGGUGCCCUAUUACAAAAAAAUGUACACAAUUAGUAAUUUUUACAUUAUGCAAUACCACGUAAAAGUCCAACUGUGGAGUGAUCAAUAAUAUUUACUUGAGAAAUCAUUAAUGCCACAUGGAAGUUCUUCAUUUGUCUCGAACGCAGAGCUAAUACAUUUGAAUCAUUUGUUUCUCCUGUUUGGCAACAAGACCAAAAUAGGUUGUUACCAACAUUUAAUAUGUCAAAUCUUUCAAAAACAAGCAACGAAUAUAUCAAUAUCUACACAUAACAUGAUGGCGUUAAGUGAAACAAACUGAACUAAUGUUCCUUCCAAAAUAUGAUAACCAUCCAUGGUUGUAUUUUCUCCGAGAAAACAGAAAGCUUGCGUCUCGAUGCAUUGAUAUAAAAAUAGUAGUAACCGUAGAAGCCUAAGACUACGCUGAAGCAACCGACCACUCAAGACAAGACCACAACCAACGGUCACAAGACAGACAUUACAACAAACAUCACCAAACCAACCCUGGCCUAGAUGCCAUCCACACAAACGGACAGAACACGACGCCCAUCACAAGAACAGAGAAUCCAACUCCGCAAAGAAGGGCAGAAUUGGGCUACUCCACUUUGGAGGCGACAUAGUUGUAUUUGGUCUAAUCGUGAUACAGAAAGCUCCAGUACUAAGACUAUGCAUGGGUUCUGUCAAGUGUCAAGCAUACUACAAAAUUAAUUUUAAACUAAAAGAGCAUUUUGUGUUCUCCUUGUUGUGCAAUACUAUACUUCAGUCAAAUAUCUUAAGAACGGCGGCUCUGGAGAUCGCCUCUGUGUGGUUGGGUGUCUCCUCUGGCUGCUUGGGUGGUUGAGUCAUCGAUCCAUUGGGUGCGGGGCCUCGGGGCCCGUGUGCUGUGUUGCUGAUGUUUGUAAGCCGGAGGGGCAACUCCGGGUCGUGUGGUAGGGUGUCGACUAGGGUCGCUUGGGUGGCAGAGUAGUCGGCCAGUUGGGGUGCAGCCUCGGGGCCGGUGUGUUUGUAUGGCUCGUUGUAUCAGUUUUCAGCCACUUUUCCUUAUUAACUGGCCAAUUCUCUUCUUAUAUAUGAGAAGGCAGAGCUCCUUGGUUGCUCGAAGAAAAGAAAAAAUUCUCUUUUCAGCUGCUAAUUUCAAUGUGAAGAGCAACGCGUGAUAAUGAGUAAUGAUGGUACCUUCAACACCACAGUUCCAGCUAAAAUUAUCAUUGCAUCCAUCACGCCCACCUUCUCCAUUAGCAUCGUUGUGCUAUAUAAUUUUGGUCAAACAGAAAGCAUAUUAACAUAGACACCACUACUUGUAUAGAAGGACCUUAACUUUAUAGUGUUUUGGUAAUACUCGAGUUACCUUUAAGUUGUAUGAAACAAGGUCACAUAAGGUGAACCCAUCAUGUGCUAUUAUAAAGUUCACACCAUGAUGAGGCUUCCGCUGGUUCACCUGCCAAUCAAUAUCACAUCAAAACUUGAUUUUACACGUCGUCCUGUUUUGAACUAUGUAAUCCUAAAUCUUCCACAUAAAAAGAAGUCCCAAAGCUUAUUCACAGAGGCUCCUAACACCUCCAUACAUAGAGAACUGGUUUAAAUUUCGAAAUGACAUCUCCAACAAUAUUCAGAGUACAGCCAAUACCGUUAAGCAUUUGGGUGGAUCUUGCAGGAAUUAAUCAGAAUGAGCAUUGAAAACAGUGCAAUUAGAAUUGCGUACAAAAUAAAUUUGGAGGUUGCAUAUGUUAAUAGCAUAAGCUGCACCCUGAUGACACUAUGGAAAUAGCAAGUGUAUAGUUUCAACUUUCAACAACACUGAAGGCUUGAGCUCAGGAAUUUCUUUGUCGCAAACACACACAUAAUUGUGUGUUUCCUGUAUUUAGCUUAGGAAUUUACAAAUACUUUAAAAACUACUACAAAACAUCAAGAAACAGGGCUCCAAAAGAAAGUAUGUUUAGUGAUGAUAUAACCAAGCAAGGAAAAUCUUCAACUGAUGGAUAAAAAGGCAGGCAGGGAAAGAGCGCAUCUGAACAAAAUACCUGGUAGAGAUCAGCAGAUCCAGACACACGAGUUGCCAACACCCCCUUCAUACCAGGGUCACCCUGCAAAACCCCUCAAAAUUAGCAGCAUUCAAUCAUUCAUCAGUGCUUGCAGAAAUAAAAUUGGAAAUAUAACAAAGAAAGUAAUCAGGACAAACUCUUUUGCAGAAGUGCACUCUAAAUUCAGAUCAAACGUUAUCAAAAUCCACUGAUGCUAAAAAGGAAAUAUCUUGGUGUUGUAGGUCUUUGAUAAUUUAGUUAUGAUUGAUUCAAAGACAUUAUGCUAUGGAAAGCAUGAGUGAGUAGAAGCAACAGCAGUCCAUGGAAAAUUGGGUCAGUAAAUUUGAACAGGCCGAGAAGCCUCAUACAUUCUUGAAAAUUCUAUAUUCUUCUGUGGUAAUAUUUCUCUCUUUUAGCUGUUCUGGCCUUUUUUAUCUUUCUGAGUUUUAUAUCUAUAACUUGGUUUUGUCAAUAUAAAUAUAAGAUAGAGGAUACUUAAUUUUUCGCCACAACAAAAAGGUCAUGAACAGAACCAUCUAAUGAUCUGUCUUGAGAAUAUACGGAAACGAUCGGGAAUUUGGAGAAUGGUAAAGAUCAGGAUCGGGAUUUAGCAAACAGUACCUUGAUGAACCUUCGAAGAUCGUCUCUGUACUUUCCAUUCCAUUCAGCCCACCUACAAGAACAUUUGAUUAUAUCUUAGAAAUAUUGGCAAUAUUCACCAACAACAUUGAAACGUAUUCAGCUCUUCAUAUAUUUGAAAUUACCGGCAGCAAGUUUAGGCAACAAAAGGGACCACCAUAUGAAAAGGAGUGCAGUUGUUAAGUACUCCCUCCGUCCCAAAAUAUAAGAGCGUUUUUGACACUACACUAGUGUUAAGAACGCUCUUAUAUUAUGGGACGGAGGGGGUAAUUUAUAAAUGAUCAUCGGAGCAUUACAUCAGCUAUGUUAGAAUAACAACAACUCUUUGUGCUACAUUAUCAUCGCAGUGUAAAAAUAGUUUAGUGCUAAACAGGAAACAAAAGUAAGAAAAAUAUACAUAUCCAGCAAUUUCAAUACACAUAGUGCAAAAUUACCUGUCCCAGUUAGGGAAACGCCCUACUAGAUAAAGACCUCCACAAUCCCAAGGUUCAGCAAUUAUCUUGCAUCGAGAUAACACAGAAUCUUUGGCAAUUUCCUGUGACCAGCAAAAUAAACAAUGAGAUAAAAUAACAACAAACAUCAUAGGCUGAUAAUUCUACAAAAAACACUAAUGUAGGCUAUCAGAUGAACAUUGCAGUCUUGAGAAGGUGUGAUAUAUCAUUUGCAAUUUCAUAAAUGUAAGGGGGCAUUCAAAAGGUCACACAUUCAUAGGACCCUCAGGUUCCUCUAAAUCUACUUCAUUAAUGAAGAGCUGAAUAUCUGAUGAUGAAAUUUUGCAUGAUUGCACUAAAUAUCUGCCCGACAAAUAGUUCAACAACUGAGAAAGAGAAAGCAAAUACGGCAUACAAUGUAGUGAAGUCCAUAAAUUUCAAGGUGGCAUUGGUUCAUGUGAAUUCAUUAGGUCACAAUUUGUAUCCGAUCAACCAUAGUAAGAUAUGGACAAUAGUUGAUGUAAGAACUUAUGUCUUGUGUUUUAUGAUAUCAAUGAACUUCACUUGAUUAAAAAGAGGAAAAUUGUAUCUCUGAUUUGAAGUUAAACACUAAAGUUCUGCAACUAUAAAAUUACCCUGAUGAGUGGAGGAGCAUCAAGAGGACUACCAUCUGGUCCACGACAAAGAACACUUGCAAGGUCAAACCGAAAUCCAUCUAUGUGAUACUCCUUAACCCUUGAAGCAUCAAAUAGUCAUGCAAAUAAGAAAACAUACUUAAAAUAUGAUGAAUUCUUUGAAAAAGAGAUCAUACGAAAAUACUUGGUCUGAAUUUUGUAUCAAGAUAUGAAUGAACUACUACAGUGCAGUUUUCUUGAUCCUUUGGCUGCCUUGCACUAAUACAUUUAAUAUAGGAUUUGUCAGUGCAUACAAUACUUUGAUAAGGAGAUCCCUAGCGACGUCACUCGUUCAAGGUUGAAAAUACUUAGUCGGUCCACUCACAAGGCACAAGAGUCACCCACCUAGACUCCCAUGAGAAUUGGUUGCUACCUGAUGCUUCUACACCAUGUCUUGGGUAUGGACCGGACAUCAUGGGUACCAAGGAGUAAGGAAACAAGAAUGAUUGGCAAGCGAGGCUCAGUCUGGAGGCACAGCAAGCAACCGGUCCAACCAGAAACUCAGUGUGGGUUAGACAGGUCACACGUUUUUUUGGUCUAGCCUGUUCCGAUCGAACUGGCUCCUAUUCACUUCGCUGGUGUGAGUGGGUAUAGAAGCAGAAGCCCACCUCUUUUAAGAACAAAUGGAAGUCAUGAGCUUCGCUCCCCUCCUAUGGUUACAGCUUCCAUGUCACCCUAGGAUUGGGAGUUCCGGAGUUUCCCCACCAAUGUUUUUGUUCCAUGUGCAAGAACCAUUUGUUGGGUGAGUUCUUUCUCAAAGGCUAUGACAUUGACACUUGUUGCUGGCAUCAAUUGCUCAAGCAACUCGAGUCAUCCAUUCCCAUUGCCUGAAGGCCAGGCCUCCCCGUAUAUUAACUGAAGAAGUCAAGUGACCUCAUCAACUAUAACGUGUCACAACCCAGAUGAUUUGAUGGCUAUGAAUUAAUGUGUGCAGUGUGUACUGCAACAUAGAGGUAGUUUUCAGUAAUUUCAGUCUAUCAGUAUCAUCUUGAUUUGAUCAUAUAGAUCCGACAGUUCAAUUCCACAUGCAUAUUUAUUUACUUGUUAGCACUUGAUUGUGAGAGUGGAACACAGGUAUAAACAGGUGCUGUCGAAGCAUUGACUAUACUGAUUAUGAAGACUAAAGAAAUGAUCAACAUGAAGACAGAAAUAUGCAUAAACUAAAAUGCAGUUGCUUGAAGUAUAGAACAACAUGCAAGUUGUGCAUACCAAUGUCUCAAGCUGUCGAGUACGAGUUCCAUGACAACAGGAUGGUUGCAGUUUAGUGUAUUCCCUGGAUUAAACCAAUUAUACUGUUAACACUUAGGAGCAGACACAAGUUCCACUUACUUGAAAUUUUAAAUGUACCAGAAUAUUAAGUACCUAGCCAUCUAAAUGUUAUAUCAACCAGAUAAUUAAGCAGGCUUCCAAUAUAUUUUUUUAACAAGGUUUCCUUAUAGGUAGCAAUGUGGCAGUCUCACAUCAAUGCAUGGGUUGAGAAAUAUAGUGGCUGCAGCCAAAUAAUGACCAGGUGACCACUCUUAACCCUUCUACCAGUCAAUAUAGCACCUAACAUGGCUGCAAGGUUCAGUCUGAUGGCAUGACGAAGAUAAUAAACAUAGAUUGAAUCAACAUUCAUCAUUUGAAAUACAUCACAACAAAGUAGCAGCCAGAUAUGCAGUUUAUUUGCCUAGAAGCACACAAUCGCAAGAUAAAUUAGCAAGGUACAUGGUUAGUAAGCGGAUCAGCAAAACAAGAUACAUUAACAUCCUUAAAGCCGGAGCAACAAAGAACAUACAAAGCAUCAGGUAGCACCCUAGAACAUGUUCACCUAUUACAAGCACGUCACAAACAAUCAAGUAACAGAAGUUCAGGAAUCAUGGUUUUACCGCAUCCCGAGAAGUUCAGCAGUUGAGAGUUGUUCUUUGGAUCUAACAUGUAAUAAACCUGCAUGAAUGAAAGUAGUGUUUUUGGUAUAAAUUCAUGUAAAACCUGAAGCAGGUGUACACUUCUAAACACUUUGGGGUUUAGAACAGAUUAACUUAACCUGGUCACAAAUUGUACUUAGCCUUCUAAGACCAGUGACUGUCUGACCCAUUAUAAAAUAACAGGUCAAAAGGGUGGAGUGAGCAAACCCAUACACAAAUUCUGAGUUAAGCAGCCCUAUUCCGAUUCUAACCUAGUUCUUUUCAACCCGGAACAAAACACAGCCUACACAUUAGAACUAAGAAAAGAUAGAGCGACAAGCAGAUAGGUGCCUUCGUCGGCUAUAACUCAAAUAGAUAAAUCACCUUGUUGUCGAUGCCACGGAAAGAAGUAACAUAAGGAUUAGCAUCAUCUGCUUCAUUCGUAUGGUUGUAAACGACGUCCAGAAUAACCUAUACAAAAUGAUGAUACCAUUAAACACAUGUUCUCAUGUGGGAUGGAUAAGAAUGCUACAAUAGGUUGCCAUAUCUACUGGAUGUCAAUACCUCUAUACCAGCUUUAUGCAAUGCCUUGACCAUCUGCUUGAGCUCUCUGGAAGCAGCCAAUGGUCCACCACCAGCACUUGCAUAGCGGGUCAUGGGAGCAAAAAAAUUGAUUGUAGAAUAACCCCAUGUAUUGACCUUCCAAUUGAGAAGAUGAAAAGUCAUUCCACAAUUGAUUCCACUGAUGAACCAUAAUGAUGACAUCAUGCACAAAGUGGCAUAUCAGAAUUUUUACCAUGUGGUCCCUUGGGUUAGGGUACCUCUUGAACUCCAGCUCAUCAAACUCAAAAACAGGUAGCAACUCCACUGCAUUAACUCCGAGUUCAAGCAAAUGCGGGAUCUACAAAACCACAACUAUUGCAUGCAUAAGUCAUUAAACAAUAGGCUUGAAGCCUUGAACACUGAAACCUAAUAUGCAUAUCAGGUUCCCAAAACUAGAUCACUAAAAUAAUAGUGGGAAUAUAUUUAUUUCGCUAAUAACUUCCCGUAAGGACCAAACAAAUAAUUGUGGUCACAAGCCACACAAUAAGAAGAAAUUAAAACUUACUUUGUCGAUGAAUCCUAGAUAGCUUCCACGAACAGCUGGAUCAAGCCCACUUGACUCAUCCGCAGUGAAAGCGCGAACGUUCAUUUCAUAUAUAACUAGAUCUGUCUAGAUUAAAGAACAGAAGAAAAGCAGUGAACUUCAUGUUUGGGAUGCUUUCUGCAUUUCUUCUAUGAAAUGAUUCUAGUACCUCAGGCAAAUUUGGAAGCUGGUAGUCAGCACCCCAGUCAAAAGGAGAGCUAUCAAAAUCAUAUGUUCCAAAAGGCUGGCUGGGCCCUUUAUCAAGCCCAAAGUAAUUUCGACCAGAAACUAGUUUCGCGUAAGGGUCAAGAAGAACAAUGUUGCUAUCAAACCUAUGGCCUUGUUCCCAUCCUUGAGGACCAUUAACACGAUAUCCGUAAAGAACUCCAGAAGUGGGCAACCCCUGAAAGUACAGUUAUAGAAGGCUUCAUUCAGCAUAUAUACAACAACAACAACAACAACAACAACAACAAAGCCUUUAGUCCCAAACAAGUUGGGGUAGGCUAGAGGUGAAACCCAUAAGAUCUCGCAACCAACUCAUGGCUCUGGCACAUGGAUAGCAAGCUUCCAUGGGAAAAUAAAUAGAAGCAAAAUAGGCACAGAUUUCUCCUCCUAACAAUAAAUAUUGUAAAGAACAUAAGGAUGUGUUUUCAGCCAAGACCAAAAGAGAACAUAAUGAUUUCUCCUCCCAACAAUAAUAUUGUAAAGAACAUAAGGAUAUGUUUUUCAGCCAAGACCAAAAAGAUAGAUGUGUAACAUGCUGGAAGCUUUUUUAUUUAAGGGUUUUUCUCCCCGAUUUCAUCCAGAAACCACAAAAAUCCUUGCAGUAAACUGAAAGAUGCUAGAAGUGACACAGUGAGAUAGCCAAAGUUAUGAGCCUGCACUACUCAGCAGUGCAUUUUGUUUCUUUUUAUGAAUGAGUUAACGUGAUAAGACCAGUGCUUUCAAAAUAUAUGAUUCUCAUAAAAUUAAAUCUUGUUUUGAAGAAUAUGUAAUACAGAUACACAUGAGACGAAUGAUGGGAUUCUUGUUCCAUAAAUGUCAGCCACACCAAGUUGUCAAUAUUCAAAAGAAUAAUGCCUUAUCUUCAAAGGUACAGAUAACAUCAAAGCUUCAUAAGAAUACCUCCACCGACACAUGCCAUAUAUCUCCAGUUUUGUUCUUCUGGCAAUCUAAAGCAAACUCCACAGCCUUUUCACUUUCUUCAUCCUUGGUUCCUCUGCAGGGUAAUCCAGUAUGUCAGACGAUGAGACAAAUCAUAUUUCGUUGUAAAGAGAAUGUGAGAUGAACAAGCUAAAGCACAAUGCUGAUCAGCAAAAGGUUAUUUCAACCAGGCCAACACCCCAGAUCAACUAACAAAAUGUCAACCUGGGAAACAAAUAAACAUCGUUUUGUGCACGAUCUGCAACAUACACAAACAGUUGAUCAAAGUGCGACAUAUGGAUGUGUUUUGGCUUUAUGAACAACUUGUUUUGCGGAAAACCAGGAUUCACGAGUCCUGGCCUAAAAGGCAAAAACCGUUAACUUAAAUGACACUGAAAGCAAGAAAACCACACAAUUUAGGAAAGAUUGUCUAUACCUCUCAGGAAGCUUGAUGCAGAGGGUGACAGAAGAAGCAUGUUGAGAGAAAAUCGCGAAGUUCAGACCACUUUCAUCCUGUGACACUCCUAGAGGGGAUGCUUUGCCGGAAGAAUAUUUCAAGGGCAUUUCGGUACCCGCCAUUGCGCUUUCCCUUUCCUGGCGGUGUUACAGAAUGAACAUACACUUGAGCCAAAAUAACAUGAUACAGAAUGAGGAAUAAGAAUACGCAGCAUCAUACAGUUGAUAAAUACAAACAUAUUCGCUUAGUGUGAGGUUUUACCAGGACGAUAGCUCACGACAUGCCAAAUGACCACGAAUGUGUAUCAAACAAACAGUUCAGUAGACUGGUAGCUAAAUGGAUCGACGAACAAAUACAGUGCUAUAGUAUAACCAUACAGGGCAUGAACACUUAGUGCGGUGCGAUACCUCGGUCACAAUUCUCCCAGCAUUACCAGUCUGUGCUCUCGCCAAGGUACUCCGCACGGACCCAAAUCGCUGCGCCUGCACCACGACAAAAUCCACUCGGAUCAAUCCACCAAUUAGAGUUGAUGCAUGGAGGUAGACCGCGAAAAACAAAGGUACGAAAUCGAGACACCUGCCUUUCCGAAUUGCCCUCCUCCGCAGCCGGGCGCGACCCCAAGCCUGCUCGCCGCUACACUGCACGGGAACCUCGACCAAACACACGCACAUCAUUCAGAGCGGCAGAUUGAACGGCACGAGAACGACAAAAUGCAGCGCGGCGAAACGAGGCCGCGCGAACGGAGAGGGAAAAAAAGGGAAACCCACCGGUUCGGAAGCGCGGGGCGGACGGAGCUGCUGCUUCGGCGUGCGGUGGCGGUGGCGGCGGCGGCGGGACGCAGCGGGGAGCGAUUUGUAGAGGCCGCCGAAUCCAUCCAAAUGCGGGGGUGGUGGGACGGGUAGCGGGAGGGAUUUGGCUCGGGACCGGGGCUUAGUUAUAGGGGCUCGUGGACAGGGUCAUGGGGCGGCUCGCGAGGUCGAGGGAGUGGAGCGGCGAUGGGGAGCGCAAGUCGGAGCAGGAGGAGAAGGAUGCGGUGAUCUCACCUCGGGGAGGGCGCGCGGAGGAAUGGGGGCGCGGGGGCGACGGAGAUGGGUGGUGGACACGUGGUGUCGCAUGCGCGGGGCGGGGGCGGCGGAUAGGGGAGUGGACGGAGGACCUUGGCUCCCUUCCGGCCCCGACGUGUGGUGUCGUCUCGUCAUGUGCUUUCCAUACAACAGUUACCGGUAGUCUCAAUAUCUCAAUAGAUGAGAAACGGUCGAACUCACGGACAGAACCUUGCUUUAUCGAAAAAUCUGAAAAUGAUUAUCUACACUACCUAUUAAAAAGCAAACCAAAUCUUCUCUAACACACCCACAAAAUGUACAUCGGAUCAAUUACCACCGCAUGAUUAGACUCACUAAAUAAAUCUAGGGAUUGUCUAAUUGACAUCUGACUGUUUUCCUUUUUGAAAACAUUCAAAUUUCUUGUCCAAUGACAAUGUUACAGCUGUACUACCAGGACAGUCAUCAAAAAAGGAGAAAAACAACACGCUAACGGGUCCGGCAACCAUCCGACCCGCUUUCUCCAGGAAAACAAGACCUCCACCUAUUCAGGGACCACAAACAGUACUCCCUGGAAGCUUGCAAACCACGCAACAUGUCAAAAACGCUAUACAAAACCCCCACCUUCAGAAAAAACGCUAGACAGAUCUUACCUAACCGGAUCUAGCGACACCCAUGGGAAAGGGAGAGGCGACCAUGACAGAUCGGGGAGGAGGAGAGCUCCCAGGAAGAGAAGAACGAAGAGGAAACGCACAUAUCACAAACGGGGAUGAAUCUGCUGAUCACGAAAAAGCUGAAGACCAUGAUCCACAGGUCAGUAACUCCUCUGCAUCAUCUCUUCUUUUCACCCCCUCUUAUGUCUCUUACGUUGACAGUUUCACAAAGAUUUUCCUUCGAUCUACUCUGAAACAUAGGAGAGAGAUCAACAUCAGAACCACAACAAAAAUUGCACUGUAAAUUCCUCUAAAAAUCACUAUGUAACUAGUCUUGUAUCCUCUAAAUUUACAGUGUAACUUUCUCUUAAAUUCCAGAGUAAAAGUAGUUGCAAACAAAAUGAAGUAAUUACAAAAAUGCAAGAACAUAUACACUACAAAAAACACAGUAAGUACAGUGAAAAAAACGUCCUAAAAUUCCACAGUAAAAAUAGUUGCAAACAAAAAGAAGUAAUUACAGAGCAAAGAACAUAGUAAAUUACAGUACAAAAAACACAGUAAGUACACUGUAAAUUCCUCAUAAAAACGCAGUAAGUACACAGAAAAGUACCUGUAAAUUCCUCCUAAAUCCCAGAGUAAACUACUAGUUACAGACAAAAUGCUUGAAAUUGCAGACAAACUAGUCACAUAGUAAGCCAGAUUCAGUGAAAAAAAAAGCUAGAGAAAUACAGAGUAAAACAUGUCAAAAACUAGACAUCAAAUUGCACUGUAAGUACGCGAGAAAUUAGAAUGUAAAAAAUACAUUGAAGCUACCUAGAAAAUCCACUGUAAAAUGCUUGGUAGCUGAUGCUUCUUACUGUAGUAUUGCAUUUUUCAGUAACAUGUCAUACAACAUUCAAAUUUUACUCUGAUGCUAUCUUGAAAAUUACAGAGCAAUACCAAAAUUUACUGUGAUUCUUCUUUCAUUUAAUUCUUAGGGAAAAUUUACAUUGAAAGUACACGAGAAAUUACACUGAAAAAAUGCACUAGAAAAAUGCAGUGUAAAACCCCCUCAUGAUUGUGUUCUUUCUAUUGUUAUGUUCUUUGUUGCUCAUCAUUAUGUUAACACUGACAUUGUACUGUCCAAAAUGUUUAAGGAGAGGACCAUGAUGAGGGUAGUGAUUGAAGAGGAUCUACUGAGAUUAUCACAGGAAGAACUCAUACUGAAUGUGAGAUGCAAUUGCAAAUACUUCUUUUAAUAUACAUAAAAGGGUAAAAAGCUAACACAAUGAUCAUGCAGGAAUCAUUUUCUUUCACUGCGCUCCUUCAUUCCGACAUUAUAUACAAGGUAAACAUCUAAAAAUCAUUAAAUACACAGUACAUUUCAGGUGAUGGUUAAAAAAAACUUGUGAUGAACCUUGCAGGUACAUUCAGCAGAUGGAUCUACGAACAUUGCCAAAACUAUGUACGAAAACUCCAGGAGCAAAACAAAGGACAGUAUCAUCACAACAAAUGAUGACCAUGUAAGCAGAACUACAUCUGAAUAACUAUUACAAAAGAAAAUGCCGAAUAAAAACACACUAACAAUCAUUAAACUUACUUUGCAGACACUGGAGGCAGACUUGCAUCAAGAAAUGCCAGUGGCCGAAGAUGGAGCAGGAGAAUCCGAUCCAUGGGACACAAACCUGAACGACAACAUCAAUCUGCAACAGGUACACACCACAAAAUUCAGAAAAAAGAAGAAGCACAUAACGUUUCAGAAGAAAAGUAACUAAAAAUAAAAAUCCCUAAAUGUUGCAGGAGCCUAAAGAAGUUGAUCCCAGUGGAGCAGCGGCUAACACGAACUCUAGUACAGGCAGGGAUGAAGGAGAAAGAAAAGAACCAGAACACUCACUAGAAACAAGAGGGAGAAGAUGAAUUCCUCGACGAAGAAGACAUUGAAAGAUUCCUGCAAAAUGAACAAGAAGCUGCGUCAGAGGGAAAUCUGAUGAACACUAGCAGUAAUUUCAAGCCUCAAUUAGGCAUGCAGUUCAAAACAAAGGAAGAAGCUCAGGAAUAUUUCAAUUUCUACUCGAAAGUGGCAGGAUUUUCAGUGGCUACAGUAGCAAUCUCAAGAACAUCAAGCAAAAAAAGGAACAAUGAGGUGACAAGGAUCACUAUGAAGUGCAACAAGUGGGGCAAGACAAAAGAAAUAGAUAAGGAAUGCAUAGUGCCCAUGAGAAAAUCUACAGUCAUAGCUAAAACAGAUUGUAAAGUCAUCAUGGUCAUAUCAGAAAAAGGAGGCAUGUGGGAAAUCACAAGACAACAACUAGAACACAACCAUGAGUUAACACCAAACAGUAGAUUCUUCAGGUCACAUAAGUACAUGUCGGAUGAAGAGAAGUGCUUGAUAAGGGUGUUGAAGCAUACAAACCUGGAAACAAGAAGGAUUGUAGCUGUCUUGGCUUACUUGAGAGGAGGAAUGGCUCAUCUUCCCUACACAAAGAAACAUGUCACAAACUCUGCAGCAACAAUUAACAGAGACAUCACAAACUCUGACAUGAUGGAAGUAGUGCAAAUGUUCAACAAGAAACAAACAGAAAAUCCUGGCUUUUGCUACUCGUUUGAGCUAGAUGGAGAGAAUAAAGUGAGGAGCUUAUUCUGGACAGAUGUGAGGUCAAGAAUGAUGUAUGACGUAUGUGGAGAUUGCAUCAGUUUUGACACUACAUUCCUAACAAACACGUACAACUUGCCAUUUGCACCCCUUGUUGGCAUAUCCCCACAUGGCAACACAUACUUGUUUGCUUGUGCAUUCAUCGUCAAUGAGACAAAAGAAACAUUUGCUUGGUUGUUCGAACAAUUCCUGAUGGCUAUGGGAGGAAAGCAUCCUAUAUCAAUCAUUACAGACCAAGACAAGGCAAUGCAAGCAGCAAUUGAAAAAGUCUUUCCUAAUGCUACCCAUAGGAGCUGCCUCUUCCACAUAAAGAAGAAGGCAGAGGAAAAAGUCGGGCCCUGCUUCCAAGCUAAUGAGGGACUCUAUGAAGACUUCCAGGACAUUGUGGACAACUCCUUGACAGUUGAAGAAUUUGAAACACAAUGGCAAGAAAUGAUAGAAAAAUACCAAGUUCAUCACAUCAAGUACUUCAACGACAUGUGGGAAAACAGGAAAAAGUUCAUCCCUGUGUACUUCAAGGACAAAUUCUUCCCAUUCAUACAAACUACAGCAAGAAGCGAAGGGACGAAUUCCCUUUUCAAAAAAGGGGUUGGAGCUAAAUUUAGUGCUACUAGAUUUUUGAGAGAGUAUGACCGGAUACUUGAUGUUGUGCAUGACAGGGAAGAAGAAUGCGACCAUGUUAGUAGAAACAAGAAAGUUGCACAGAAAGCAUUUUGGUCAAAAUACAGCAUAGAAAGGCAAGCACAUGAGCUAUACAACAUUGGAAUAUUCAGGAAAUUCCAGUUUAAAAUGGCAGACACAACAAGGCUGCAUGUCUUUGAGCAAGAAAAGGACAAAUACUACAUUGUGACACAAGCUGAAAACUACCCCCAAAAGGAAAUCCGGAAAAGAGAAGAACAAUAACAAGACUUACAGCAAAAGCGUAGUGACAACCGCCAAACGUCACUGAUCUUUUGGAAGCAACUUUAGUGGAAUCCUUGAACUUUUUUAUGCAACUCAACAGCCACUCAUAAACAAAUUUUGACAGAUCAUAGUUACGCACAGAAGGACAAUCCCGGAAGAUGUGAAGGUACUUUGGGCUAGGACUGAGGCUAGAGUUGGGACAAAGGAAUGAUGAAAAAGCAACAAUCAUGAAACAGAUAAAGACAUCUUCAUCAGGCAACCCGACUGUGGUUGAUUUUAGCUUGUUAGCAAAGAAGGACACGGGAGGAAUACUGGUCAAGUUGAAGUGAGAGAGGAUAAAAUCACGGCCGGAUUCAGCAUCACACACAAGUGGCUCACCAUCUACUGGAAGGUCGAGGAUGUCAUGAAUAUCAUACUUGGUCAUUGGGAUAAAUUUCUUUUUGAGCUGGAAUUCAGAUGAAAGGACAUCAAACCUACUGGCGAGCCACUUCACUAACCUAAGGGGCACCUCGGUCCUAACAAACUCUAAGAGACAGCCCAUGCCAUAUCUCUGGACAACAUCUCGAUACCUAGAACAUAAACCAUCAACAACACCAGAGAAGAACUUCCCAGAAUAUCUAGUGAAAGUAGCACAAGUAGGGUAAUCGCUAGAGCUUUUCUGCCUCUACAAAAACAACAAAAGAGAAACACCAUAUCAACCACUCAAAAUAAUUACUUCGCAUUACUAUUACUAAGUACAAAAAAUACUUUACAAAUACAUCAAAAAAUACAGCUACUAAAAUAAUUGGACUUACACUAGAAAAUAACAAAAACAAUAUGAGUGAAAACACAUAUCAAACCAGUCAAAAAAUAGCUUUAGAUUACUAUUACUUAGUACAAAAAGAACAUUGCAAUACAUUGAAAAAAUGCAGUUACUAAUAAUUGGACUAACACUACAAAAAAAUUCAUUAAGAUAGAACUUCAAGCAUUUUUCUUCCAGAAAGUAAAAAUUGCUGAAAACAAAAAAGAAAAUAGGAACUAACCACAUUCCUCCUUGAAGCAGAUGAUAAUUUCCUCUUGAGGCAUUUUACUUUCUGAAAACAUAACAAAAACACAACUAUCACGCAUCAGAAAAAAAUGUAAAAAAAUGAAACAAGAAUGAAAAGUCCUAGAUAAAAUAAAACAUACUCGGUUAAGAUAGAACUUCAGAAGAGCUUUGUCAAGCCCUCCUUCGUCACCAGAUAAUUCCUGCAGAAAAAACCAAUAAAAAAAUAAGACAACCCAAAAAAAAAUGAAGGUCAAAAAACUAAAAUAAAAAGAAGCAGAAAAUAAAUAAAUAAAUACCAUAGACACAGGGAAAGAACCAUCUUCUGCAAAAUCAUUAGGCACAAAUGCUUCACCUCCAGAAUCAGCACUAUCUAAAGAUGAUACUACGGGAACAUCCCAAUGAGAAGCUUUCCGUAGCUUGCCCAUUUAAACCUAAAAAAGGAAAAAACAAAAACAUAAGUAACAGUGAAAAAGCAUCCAAUUAAAACUCAAAAAUACAAUGUAAGUAUACAACAUAAUGCACUGUCAUUACAUUGUAAAAACUAGCACAACUACAUUAUAAGCAUUGGACAAAAAAUAUACUGUAAUUACAAUAUAAACCUAGCACAACUGCACUGUAAGUAUUGAACAAAAUUACACUGUGAUUGCACUGUAAAAACUAGCACAAGUACAAUGUAAAACCUAACAGAAAUUACAUUGUAAGACUAGCACAACUACACUGUGUAUUGGACAAAAAAUACACUGUAAUUACAGUGUAAAACUAGCACAACUACACUGUAAGUAAUGGACAAAAAAAUACACUGUAAUUACAGUGUAAAAACUAGCAGAACUACACUGUAAUUGAACAAUAAAAUAUACUGAGAUUAUACUGUAAAAACUACCACAAUUACAGUGUAAAAACUAACAGAAAUUACACUGUAAGACUAGCACCAUUAUACUGUAAAUGAGUGGAUUUGCAAUGCAAAACUAGCACAACUACACUGUGAGUAUUGGACAAAAAUGCACAGAAAUUACAGUGUAAAACUAAGCACAACUACACUGUAAUAGAACAAAUAAAUACACUGAGAUUACACUGUACAAACUAGCACAAUUACAUUGUAAAAACUACCAGAAAUUACACUGUAAAAGGCUAGCACCAUUAUACUGUAAAUGAGUGCAUUUACACUGCAAAACUACCACAAAAAGAACACUGUAAAACCUAAGAGACAUUACAUUGUAAUACUGGGACAAAAAGGACACAGAAAGUCAGAAAAAUACACUAUAAUUACACUAAAGUGGAUAUACUGAAAGUAUGACAUGAACUACAGAACAAAACAACAACACUCAAAUAUACUUAACCAACAGUCAACACUGGCAUGACACAAAAAAAAAACACUAAAGAAAAUAAACUCAAAAAUCAUGCCAUCCCUAAAAAGUAAACAAUCAUGGCACAAAAUGGGGAUGAAACCCUACAUCUAGCAGGCGAUUCCCAACCUGCAGAAAAAGCUUGACAAGAGCAACAACAAUAGACAACAUAAAAAAAGACGAGAAACGUUACAAGAUGACCAAAAUUCAGAGGCUACAGAAACUACAAACAACAACUCGGUCUUCAGAAACAUCAGCUUUAGGAUCCAUCGCUGAAACCUAUUGCCUACCACGCCUAUUUCCACAUCAACUAUAGGCCACAUAAAAAAAAUACACAUCAACGACGACAAAAACGUACUUGGGAGGGGCAUAACAUUUGGGCUGGGUCCACAACAAAAAUAUAAGACAACGGCAUGGCGCAAACGGUAGCAAUGAAACUCUACAGGACAAGAUGCAGUGAACAAAAAAAUGCCAACUAAUAGGUUGCAAAAACAUAUAUCUGCAAGACAAGAUGCAGUGAGAAAAAGUGGAGAGCAGAACUUCAUGCGCAUACUACAGCCCCUUGAUCUUAGAUACACUCAUAUAAUGGUGGAAAAAACAUAAAAACAAGCGUCAAAAUACAUGAAAGUACACAGCAAACAGGAACAAAAAUACAUAGGGAUGACUUAAUAAACCACUGGGAUGAACAACAUGGGACAAAAACAACACAAAACUAGACAAAAUUCAGGCGUUAUAACCACAACUCGAUCACAGCCACAAGCUACAGGAUCCGCCGCUGAAAACUAACAACAACUCCGCGUACAUCCACAACAUCUACAAAAAAACUAACCUCUGCGCCUACCUACACAUCAACAACUAGAACGCAUGACGGGCGCUCCUCCACAAAAACUGCAGGAACACACAGAUCACGCGCAUGCAAAACUACGGGUGACACAACUAGAUCCUACCAGAUAUCACGCGCGCGCCCAUGGCGAACUAGAACACCACGGCAGCAACAUACACAUCCCGCGAAACCCAAAAAUCACCUAGAUCUAAAGCUACAGGGCCACAAAAAGCAAGGGCAAACGGGCGAGAAGGCAAGGCAACAAACCAGCGCAGCUGCGGGCGACGAGAAUGAAGAGGGUGCCGUCAAAAUCCUGCGGCGGAUGAGCUCCAAAUCGCCAUGAAACUGGGGAAUCGCCUCCAGGAAUCGCCUCGCCCUCCGCCGUCGCUCGACCUCUCACUCCCUCUGCCUUAUCCAAAUGAGAAAGGGGAACGACACCCCGCUCCAAAUUCAAAAGCGACAAAGACCUACAGUGCCCACCGGUUCGGCCGGGUCGAGGAAAAACGGGCGGAUCCAGAAACCGCGCCCGAUAAACAAAACCGACCCGAAAACCAGCGCAAAAAAAGCAGGACCGAGCACGAAUCUCGACGCGAGAUCGAACGGACAGAAAUUCGAACGUCAGCGAAUUACAAAACAGCCGACUGUAAAUUAGCAAAACCGUAAAUCUAACAGCUAACCUUAAUCUAAUCCCUUUUGUAUGUGCGUUUAGCAAUUUUAUUGAGUGGCUGUACUCCACACUAGUCUAAGUUUUUUUACGAGGUACACUAGUUUGAGUUACUCCCCACUAUGGGUAGUCUCAUAGUAUGAGUAUCACACCCCGCAUCGGUAACUCCUACAAUCACGCAGCGCACGCCAUCCGAACUGCCACCAGUUAACCUCUCUUCCUUAAUUAGCGUCUAAUCAAUUCCCAUACGAAACCUCCAUCCAAAAGAGAGAAAUUUACCAAAGAGCAUGCAAGCCGCCCGCCAAUGCAAGAGAAACACCGCCGUCGGGACGCGCGAGGAGCCCGCCUGAGGAGGCAGCUAGAAAUCCUAUUUUGUCAAUGUAGGGGAACGCAGUAAUUUCAAAAAUUUCCUACGCACACGCAAGAUCAUGGUGAUGCAUAGCAACGUGAGGGAAGAGUGUUGUCCACGUACCCUCGUAGACCGAUAGCGGAAGCGUUAACACAACGCGGUUGAUGUAGUCGUACGUCUUCACGAUCCGACCGAUCAAGUACCGAACGUACGGCACCUCCGAGUUCAGCACACGUUCAGCUCGAUGACGUCCCUCAAACUCCGAUCCAGCCGAGUGUUGAGGGAGAGUUUCGUCAGCACGACGGCGUGGUGACGAUGAUGAUGUUCUACCGACGCAGGGCUUCGCCUAAGCACCGCUACGAUAUUAUCGAGGUGUAAUAUGGUGGAGGGGGGCACCGCACACGGCUAAGAGAUCAAUAGAUCAAUUGUUGUGUCUAUGGGGUGCCCCCCGCCCCCGUAUAUAAAGGAGCAAGGGGGGAGGCGGCCGGCCUAGGAGGAGGGCGCGCCAAGGGGGGAGUCCUACUCCCACCGGGAGUAGGACUCCUCCUUUCCUUGUUGGAGUAGGAGAAGGGAAGGGAGAAGGAGAAGGAAGGAAGGGGGCGCCCCCUCCCUAGUCCAAUUCGGACUAGUCCAUGGGGAGGGGUGCGGCCACCCUUUGGGGCCUUUCUCUCCUUUCCCGUAUGGCCCAUUAAGGCCCAAUACGAAUUCCCGUAACUCUCCGGUACUCCGAAAAAUACCCGAAUCACUCGGAACCUUUCCGAUGUCCAAAUAUAGUCGUCCAAUAUAUCGAUCUUUACGUCUCGACCAUUUCGAGACUCCUCGUCAUGUCCCCGAUCUCAUCCGGGACUCCGAACUCCUUCGGUACAUCAAAACUCAUAAUAAAACUGUCAUCGUAACGUUAAGCGUGCGGACCCUACGGGUUCGAAAACUAUGUAGACAUGACCGAGACACGUCUCCGGUCAAUAGCCAAUAGCGGGACCUGGAUGCCCAUAUUGGCUCCCACAUAUUCUACGAAGAUCUUUAUCGGUCAAACCGCAUAACAACAUACGUUGUUCCCUUUGUCAUCGGUAUGUUACUUGCCCGAGAUUCGAUCGUCGGUAUCUUAAUACCUAGUUCAAUCUCGUUACCGGCAAGUCUCUUUACUCGUUCCGUAAUACAUCAUCUUGCAACAAACUCAUUAGUUGCAAUGCUUGCAAGGCUUAAGUGAUGUGCAUUACCGAGAGGGCCCAGAGAUACCUCUCCGACAAUCGGAGUGACAAAUCCCAAUCUUGAAAUACGCCAACCCAACAAGUACCUUCGGAGACACCUGUAGAGCACCUUUAUAACCACCCAGUUACGUUGUGACGUUUGGUAGAACACAAAGUGUUCCUCCGGUAAACGGGAGUUGCAUAAUCUCAUAGUCAUAGGAACAUGUAUAAGUCAUGAAGAAAGCAAUAGCAACAUACUAAACGAUCGAGUGCUAAGAUAACGGAAUGGGUCAAUUCAAUCACAUCAUUCUCCUAAUGAUGUGAUCCCAUUAAUCAAAUGACAACUCAUGUCAAUGGCUAGGAAACAUAACCAUCUUUGAUCAAUGAGCUAGUCAAGUAGAGGCAUACUAGUGACACUCUGUUUGUCUAUGUAUUCACACAUGUAUCAAGUUUCCGGUUAAUACAAUUCUAGCAUGAAUAAUAAACAUUUAUCAUGAUAUAAGGAAAUAAAUAAUAACUUUAUUAUUGCCUCUAGGGCAUAUUUCUUCAGUCUCCCACUUGCACUAGAGUCAAUAAUCUAGUUCACAUCGCCAUGUCAUUUAACAUCAAUAGUUCACAUCACCAUGUGAUUAACACCCAUAGUUCACAUCGUCAUGUGACCAACACCCAAAGGGUUUACUAGAGUCAGUAAUCUAGUUUACAUCGCUAUGUGAUUAACACCCAAAGAGUACUAAGGUGUGAUCAUGUUUUGCUUGUGAGAUAAUUUUAGUCAACGGGUCUGUCACAUUCAGAUCCGUAAGUAUUUUGCAAAUUUCUAUGUCUACAAUGCUCUGCACGGAGCUACUCUAGCUAAUUGCUCCCACUUUCAAUAUGUAUCUAGACCGAGACUUAGAGUCAUCUAGAUUAGUGUCAAAACUUGCAUCGACAUAACCCUUUACGACGAACCUUUUGUCACUUCCAUAAUCGAGAAACAUAUCCUUAUUCCACUAAAGAUAAUUUUGACCGCUGUCCAGUGAUCUACUCCUAGAUCACUAUUGUACUCUCUUGCCAAAAUCAGUGUAGGGUAUACAAUAGAUCUGGUACACAGCAUGGCAUACUUUAUAGAACCUAUGGCCGAGGCAUAGGGAAUGACUUUCAUUCUUUUUCUAUCUUCUGUCGUGGUCGGGCUUUGAGUCUUACUCAAUUUCACACCUUGUAACACAGGCAAGAAACUCUUUCUUUGACUGUUCCAUUUUGAACUACUUCAAAAUCUUGUCAAGGUAUGUACUUAUUGAAAAAACUUAUCAAGCAUCUUGAUCUAUCUCUAUAGAUCUUGAUGCUCAAUAUGUAAGCAGCUUCACCGAUGUCCUUUCUUUGAAAAACUCCUUUCAAAUACUCCUUUAUGCUUUGCAGAAUAAUUCUACAUUAUUUCCGAUCAACAAUAUGUCAUUCACAUAUACUUAUCAGAAAUGCUGUAGUGCUCCCACUCACUUUCUUGUAAAUACAGGCUUCACCGCAAGUCUGUAUAAAACUAUAUGCUUUGAUCAACUUAUCAAAGCGUAUAUUCCAGCUCCGGGAUGCUUGCACCAGUCCAUAGAUGGAUCGGUAGAGCUUGCAUAUUUUGUUAGCACCUUUAGGAUUGACAAAACCUUCUGGUUGCAUCAUAUACAACUCUUCUUUAAUAAAUCCAUUAAGGAAUGCAGUUUUGUUUAUCCAUUUGUCAGAUUUCAUAAUCAUAAAAUGCGGCAAUUGCUAACAUGAUUCGGAUAGACUUAAGCAUCGCUACGGGUGAGAAGGUCUCAUCGUAGUCAAUCCCUUGAACUUGUCGAAAACCUUUUGCAACAAGUCAAGCUUUAUAGACAGUAACAUUACCGUCAGCGUCAGUCUUCUUCUUGACGAUCCAUUUAUUUUCAAUGGCUUGCCGAUCAUCGGGCAAGUCAACCAAAGUCCAUACUUUGUUCUCAUACGUGGAUCCCAUCUCGGAUUUCAUGGCCUCAAGCCAUUUUGCGGAAUCUGGGCUCACCAUCGCUUCUUCAUAGUUUGUAGGUUCGUCAUGGUCUAGUAACAUAACCUCCAGAACAGGAUUACCGUACCACUCUGGUGUGGAUCUUACUCUGGUUGACCUACGAGGUUCAGUAAUAACUUGAUCUGAAGUUUCAUGAUCAUCAUCAUUAACUUCCUCACUAAUUGGUGUAUGCGUCGCAGAAACUGGUUUCUGUGAUGAACUACUUUCCAAUAAGGGAGCAGGUACAAUUACCUCAUCAAGUUCUACUUUCCUCCCACUCACUUCUUUCGAGAGAAACUCCUUCUCCAGAAAAAUUCCGAAUUUAGCAACAAAAGUUUUUCCUUCGGAUCUGUGAUAGAAGGUGUACCCAACAGUUUCCUUUGGGUAUCCUAUGAAGACACAUUUCUCCGAUUUGGGUUCGAGCUUAUGAGGUUGAAGUUUUUUCACAUAAGCAUCGCAGCCCCAAACUUUAAGAAACCACAACUUUGGUUUCUUGCCAAACCACAGUUCAUAAGGCGUCGUCUCAACGGAUUUUGAUGGUGCCCUAUUUAACGUGAAUGCAGCCGUCUCUAAAGCAUAACCCCAAAACGAUAGCGGUAAAUCAGUAAGAGACAUCAUAGAUCGCACCAUAUAUCUAGUAAAGUACGAUUACGACGUUCGGACACACCAUUACGCUGUGGUGUUCCGGGUGGCGUGAGUUGCGAAACUAUUCCGCAUUGUUUCAAAUGAAGACCAAACUCAUAACUCAAAUAUUCUCCUCCACGAUCAGAUCGUAGAAAUUUUAUUUUCUUGUUACGAUGAUUUUCAACUUCACUCUGAAAUUCUUUGAACUUUUCAAAUGUUUCAGACUUAUGUUUCAUUAAGUAGAUAUACCCAUAUCUGCUCAAAUCAUCUGUGAAGGUGAGAAAAUAACGAUAUCCGCCACGAGCCUCAAUAUUCAUCGGACCACAUACAUGUGUAUGUAUGAUUUCCAACAAAUCUGUUGCUCUCUCCAUAGUUCCGGAGAACGGUGUUUUAGUCAUCUUGCCCAUGAGGCAAGGUUCGCAAGCAUCAAGUGAUUCAUAAUCAAGUGAUUCCAAAAUCCCAUCAGCAUGGAGUUUCUUCAUGCGCUUUACACCAAUAUGACCUAAACGGCAGUGCCACAAUUAAGUUGCACUAUCAUUAUUAACUUUGCAUCUUUUGGCUUCAUUAUUAUGAAUAUGUGUAUCACUACGAUCGAGAUCCAACAAACCAUUUUAUUGGGUGUAUAACCAUAGAAGGUUUUAUUCAUGUAAAUAGAACAACAAUUAUUCUCUAAUUUAAAUGAAUAACCGUAUUGCAACAAACAUGAUCAAAUCAUAUUCAUGCUCAACGCAAACACCAAAUAACACUUAUUUAGUUUCAACACUAAUCCCGAAAGUAUAGGGAGUGUGCGAUGAUGAUCAUAUCAAUCUUGGAACUACUUUCAACACACAUCGUCACCUCGCCUUUUACUAGUCUCUGUUUAUUCUGCAACUCCCGUUUCGAGUUACUACUCUUAGCAACUGAACCAGUAUCAAAUGCCGAGGGGUUGCUAUAAACACUAGUAAAGUAUACAUCAAUAACAUGUAUAUCCAAUAUACCUUUGUUCACUUUGCCAUCCUUCUUAUCCACCAAAUACUUGGGGUAGUUCCGCUUCCAGUGACCAGUCCCUUUGCAGUAGAAGCACAUAGUCUCAGGCUUAGGACCAGACUUAGGCUUCUUCACUUGAGCAGCAACUUGCUUGCCGUUCUUCUUGAAGUUCCCCUUCUAUCCUUUUGCCCUUUUCUUGAAACUAGUGGUCUUGUUAACCAUCAACACUUGAUGCUUUUUCUUGAUUUCUACCUUCAUGGAUUUCAUCAUCAUGAAAAGCUCGGGAAUUACUUUCAUCAUCCCUUGCAUACUAUAGUUCAUCACGAAGUUCUACUAACUUGUUGAUGGUGACUAGAGAAUUCUGUCAAUCACUAUUUUAUCUGGAAGAUUAACUCCCACUUGAUUCAAGCGAUUGUAGUACCCAGACAAUCUGAGCACAUGCUCACUGCUUGAGCUAUUCUCCUCCAUCUUUUAGCUGUAGAACUUGUUGGAGACUUCAUAUCUCUCAACUCGGGUAUUUGCUUGAAAUAUUAACUUCAACUCCUGGAACAUCUCAUAUGGUCCAUGACGUUCAAAACGUCUUUGAAGUCCCGAUUCUAAGCCGUUAAGCAUGGUGCACUAAACUAUCAAGUAGUCAUCAUAUUGAGCUAGCCAAACAUUCAUAACGUCUGCAUCUGCUCCUGCAAUAGGUCUGUCACCUAGUGGUGCAUCAAGGUCAUAAUUCUUCUGUGCAGCAAUGAGGAUAAUCCUCAGAUCACGGAUCCAAUCCGCAUCUUUGCUACUAACAUCUUUCAACAUAAUUUUUCUCUAGGAACAUAUCAAAAAUAAACACAGGGAAGCAACAACGCGAGCUAUUGAUCUACAACAUAAUUUGCAAAAUACUAUCAGGACUAAGUUCAUGAUAAAUUUAAGUUCAAUUAAUCAUAUUACUUAAGAACUCCCACUUAGAUAGACAUCCCUCUAAUCCUCUAAGUGAUCACGUGAUCCAUAUCAACUAAACCAUGUCCGAUCAUCACGUGAGAUGGAGUAGUUUCAAUGGUGAACAUCACUUAUGUUGAUCAUAUCUACUAUAUGAUUCACGCUCGACCUUUCGGUCUCAGUGUUCCGAGGCCAUAUCUGUUAUAUGCUAGGCUCGUCAAGUUUAACCUGAGUAUUCCGCGUGUGCAACUGUUUUGCACCCGUUGUAUUUGAACGUAGAGCCUAUCACACCCGAUCAUCACGUGGUGUCUCAGCACGAAGAAAUUUCGCAACGGUGCAUACUCAGGGAGAACACUUGUACCUUGAUAAUUAGUGAGAGAUCAUCUUAUAAAGCUACCGUCGAACUAAGCAAAAUAAGAUGUAUAAAAGAUAAACAUCACAUGCAAUCAAAAUAUGUGACAUGACAUGGCCAUCAUCUUGUGCCUUUGAUCUCCAUCUCCAAAGCAUCGUCAUGAUUUACAUCGUCACCGGCAUGACACCAUGAUCUCCAUCAUCUUGAUCUAUAUCAAUGUGUCAUCACAUGGUCGUCUCGCCAACUAUUGCUCUUGCAACUAUUGCUAUCGCAUAUCGAUAAAGUAAAGCAAUUAUUUGGCGCUUGCAUCUUAUGCAAUAAAGAGCCAACCAUAAGGCUUCUGCCAGUUGCCGAUAACUUCAACAAAACAUGAUCAUCUUAUACAACAACUUAUAUCUUAUCACGUCUUGACCAUAUCACAUCACAACAUGCCCUGCAAAACAAGUUAGACGUCCUCUACUUUGUUGUUGCAAGUUUUACGUGGCUGCUACGGGCUUAGCAAGAACCGUUCUUACCUACGCAUCAAAACCACAAUGAUAGUUUGUCAAGUUGGUGCUGUUUUAACCUUCGCAAGGACCGGGCGUAGCCACACUCGGUUCAACUAAAAUUGGAGAAACUAACACCCGCCAGCCACCUAUGUGCAAAGCACGUCGGUAGAACCAGUCUCGCGUAAGCGUACGCGUAAUGUCGGUCCGGGCCGCUUCAUCCAACAAUACCGCCGAACCAAAGUAUGGCAUGCUGGUAAGCAGUAUGACUUAUAUCGCCCACAACUCACUUGUGUUCUACUCGUGCAUAUAACAUCAACGCAUAAAACCAGGCUCGGAUGCCACUGUAGGGGAACACAGUAAUUUCAAAAAUUUCCUACGCACACGCAAGAUCAUGGUGAUGCAUAGCAACGAGAGGGGAGAGUGUUGUCCACGUACCCUCGUAGACCGAUAGCGGAAGCGUUAACACAACACGGUUGAUGUAGGCGUACGUCUUCACGAUCCGACCGAUCAAGUACCGAACGUACGGCACCUCCGAGUUCAGCACACGUUCAGCUCGAUGACGUCCCUCGAACUCCGAUCCAGCCGAGUGUUGAGGGAGAGUUUCGUCAGCACGACGACGUGGUGACGAUGAUGAUGUUCUACCGACGCAGGGCUUCACCUAAGCACCGCUACGAUAUUAUCGAGGUGUAAUAUGGUGGAGGGGGGGCACCGCACACGGCUAAGAGAUCAAUAGAUCAAUUGUUGUGUCUAUGGGGUGCCCCCUGCCCCCGUAUAUAAAGGAGCAAGGGGGGAGGCGGCCGGCCUAGGAGGAGGGCGCGCCAAGGGGGGAGUCCUACUCCCACCGGGAGUAGGACUCCUCCUUUCCUUGUUGGAGUAGGAGAAGGGAAGGGAGAAGGAGAAGGAAGGAAGGGGGCGCCCCCCUCCCUAGUCCAAUUCGGACUAGUCCAUGGGGAGGGGUGCGGCCACCCUUUGGGGCCUUUCUCUCCUUUCCCGUAUGGCCCAUUAAGGCCCAAUACGAAUUCCCGUAACUCUCCGGUACUCCGAAAAAUACCCGAAUCACUCGGAACCUUUCCGAUGUCCAAAUAUAGUCGUCCAAUAUAUCGAUCUUUACGUCUCGACCAUUUCGAGACUCCUCGUCAUGUCCCCGAUCUCAUCCGGGACUCCGAACUCCUUCGGUACAUCAAAACUCAUAAUAAAACUGUCAUCGUAACGUUAAGCGUGCGGACCCUACGGGUUCGAGAACUAUGUAGACAUGACCGAGACACGUCUCCGGUCAAUAGCCAAUAGCGGGACCUGGAUGCCCAUAUUGGCUCCCACAUAUUAUACGAAGAUCUUUAUCGAUCAAACCGCAUAACAACAUACGUUGUUCCCUUUGUCAUCGGUAUGUUACUUGCCCGAGAUUCGAUCGUCGGUAUCUUAAUACCUAGUUCAAUCUCGUUACCGGCAAGUCUCUUUACUCGUUCCGUAAUACAUCAUCUUGCAACAAACUCAUUAGUUGCAAUGCUUGCAAGGCUUAAGUGAUGUGCAUUACCGAGAGGGCCCAGAGAUACCUCUCCGACAAUCGGAGUGACAAAUCCCAAUCUCAAAAUACGCCAACCCAACAAGUACCUUCGGAGAAACCUGUAGAGCACCUUUAUAAUCACCCAGUUACGUUGUGACGUUUGGUAGCACACAAGGUGUUCCUCCAGUAAACGGGAGUUGCAUAGGAACAUGUAUAAGUCAUGAAGAAAGCAAUAGCAACAUACUAAACGAUCGAGUGCUAAGCUAACGGAAUGGGUCAAUUCAAUCACAUCAUUCUCCUAAUGAUGUGAUCCCAUUAAUCAAAUGACAACUCAUGUCAAUGGCUAGGAAACAUAACCAUCUUUGAUCAACGAGCUAGUCAAGUAGAGGCAUACUAGUGACACUCUGUUUGUCUAUGUAUUCACACAUGUAUCAAGUUUCCGGUUAAUACAAUUCUAGUAUGAAUAAUAAACAUUUAUCAUGAUAUAAGGAAAUAAAUAAUAACUUUAUUAUUGCCUCUAGGGCAUAUUUCCUUCAGUCAGUAGGUUGGCGUACAUGGAGGGUAAAGGAAAGCCCGUUUGUAGUUCAAUUCGUUAGAACCAAAUGGCACGUUGAGGAACCCAAAGCAACACACGAGGGAGGGAGAACAGGGCACAUGAUACGUCUUCAAUGUAUCUAUAAUUUUUGAUUGUUCCAUGUUGUUAUAUUAUCAUUCUUGGAUGUUUUACAAUCAUUUUAUAGCAACUUUAUAUCAUUUUUUGGACUAACCUAUUGACAUAGUGCCCAGUGUCAGUUGUUGUUUUUUGCUUGUUUUUUACAUCACAGAAUACAGUAUUAAAUGGAGUCCAAACGCAGCGAAACUUUUUGGAGAAUUUUUAUGGAACAGAAGGAACAACAUGGGCCAAAGAAGUACCAGAGGGGUGCCCCGAGGGGGGGCACAACCCACCUGGGCGCCCCGGCGCACCCUGGUGGGUCGUGCCCACCUUGAUGGCCUCCCGCACCGCCUCUUUGCCCUAUAUAUACCCACAUAUUUCAGAAGCCCUAGGGGAGUCGACGAAACACAAUUCCAGCCGUCGCAAGUUCCAGAACCACGAGAUCCAAUCUAGACACCAUCACGGAGGGGUUCAUCAUCCUCAUUGGUACCUCUCCGAUGAUGCGUGAGUAGUUCAUUGUAGACCUAUUGGUCCCUAGACAGUAGCUAGAUGGCUUCCUCUCUCUCUCUCUCUCUCUCUCUCUCUCUCUCUCUCUCUUGAUUCUCAAUACAAUGGUCUCUUGGAGAUCUAUUUGAUGUAACUCUUUUUGCGGUGUGUUUCUUGGGAUCCGAUGAACUUUGAGUUUAUGAUUAGAUCUAUUUAUCCAUGAAAGUUAUAUGAGUUUUGAUCUCUUAUAUGCAUGAUUAAUUAUAGCCUCGUAUUUCUUCUUCGAAUCUUUGGUUUAGUUAGGCCCGCUAGAUCGAUUUUUCUUGCCAUUAGAAGAGGUGCUUUGUGAUGGGUUCGAUCUUGCGGUGUUCUUUCCCAGUGACAGAAGGGGCAGCAAGACACGUAUUGAUCAUUGCUAUUAAGGAUAAUAAGAUGGAGUCUAUUCCUACAUGAAUAGAUCUUGUCUACAUCAUGUCAUCGUUCUUAUUGCAUUACUCCAUUUAUCCAUGAACUUAAUACACUAGAUGCAUGCUGGAUAGUGGUCAAUGUGUGGAGUAAUAGUAGUAGAUGCAGGCAGAGUCGGUCUACUAAUCUUGGGCGCGAUGCCUAUAUAUUGAUCAUUGCCUGGAUAUCAUCAUAAUUGUUUGAAGUUCUAUCAAUUGCCCAACGGUAUUUUUUUUACCCACCGUGUGCUAUUUCUUGAGAGAAGCCACUAGUGAAAUCUACGGCCCUCGGGUCUAGUCUUCAUCAUAUUUGCUUUGAGAUUGAUACGUCUCCAACGUAUCUAUAAUUUUUGAUUGUUCCAUGCUAUUAUAUUAUCUGUUUUGGAUGUUUUAUAUGCAUUAAGAUGCUAUUUUAUAUGAUUUUUGGGACUAACCUAUUAACCUAGAGCCCAGUGCCAGUUCCUGUUUUUCCUUGUUUUAGAGUUUCGCGAAAAAGGAAUACCAAACGGAGUCCAAAUGGAAUAAAACUUUCGCGAUGAUUUUUCUUGGACCAGAAGACACCAGGAGACUUGGAGUGCAAGUCCGAAGAGCCACGAGGCGGCCACAAGGGUGGAGGGCGCGCCCCCCAACCUUGUGGGCCCCUCGAUGACCCCUUGACCUAGAUCUUCCUCCUAUAUAUACUCUUAUUACCCAAAAACUACCAGGGGAGCCAUGAAACCACUUUUCCACCGCUGCAACCUUCUGUACCCGUGAGAUCCCAUCUAGGGGCCUUUUCCGGCGUCCUGCCGGAGGAGGAUUCGAUCACGGAGGGCUUCUACAUCAACACCAUUGCCUCUCCGAUGAAGCGUGAGUAGUUUACCACAGACCUACAGGUCCAUAGCUAGUAGCUAGAUGGCUUCUUCUCUCUCUUUGAUUCUCAAUACAAAGUUCUCCUCGAUGUUCUUGGAGAUCUUUUCGAUGUAAUACUCUUUUGCGGUGUGUUUGCCGAGAUCCGAUGAAUUGCGGAUUUAUGAUCAGCUUAUCUAUGAAUAUUAUUUGAUUCUUCUCUGAAUUCUUAUAUGCAUGAUUUGAUAUCUUUGCAAGUCUCUUCGAGCUAUCGAUUUGGUUUGGCCAACUAGAUUGGUUUUUCUUGCAAUGGGAGAAGUGCUUAGCUUUGGGUUCAAUCUUGUGGUGUCCUUUCCGAGUGAUAGUAGGGGCAGCAAGGCAGGCAUUGUAUUGUUGCCAUCGAGGAUAAAAAGAUGGGGUUUUCAUCAUAUUGCUUGAGUUAAUUCCUCUACAUCAUGUCAUCUUGCUUAAUGCGUUACUCCGUUCUUUAUGAACUUAAUACUCUAGAUGCAUGCUGGAUAGCGGUCGAUGUGUGGAGUAAUAGUAGUAGAUGCAUAAUCGUUUCGGUCUACUUGACACGGACAUGGUGCCUAUAUUCAUGAUCAUUGCCUUAGAUAUCAUCAUAACUUUGCGCUUUUCUAUCAAUUGCUCGACAGUAAUUUGUUCACCCACCGUAAUAAUUUCUAUCUUGAGAGAAGCCUCUAGUGAAACCUAUGGCCCCCGGUGUCGGUGUCAAAACCGGCCGAUCUCAGGUAGGGGGUCCCGAACUGUGCGUCUGAGGAUCGAAGGUAACAAGGGACACUGGGAACACGAUGUUUACCCAGGUUCGGGCUCUCUCGAUGGAGGUAAACCCCUACUUCCUGCUUGAUUUUGACUUUGAUGAGUAUAGGGGUUACAAGAGUUGAUCUACCUCGAGAUCGUAAUGGCUAAACCCUAGAUGUCUAGCCUAUAUGAAUUCUGAUAGCCUCUACGGACUAAACCCUCCGGUUUACAUAGACACCAGAGGGGCCUAGGGUUGUACAGAGUCGGUUUACAGAAGAAGGAAACUAUACACCCGGACGCCAACCUUGCCAUCCAUGCAAAGGAGAGUCCCAUCCAGACACGGGGAAAGGUCUUCUACCUUGUAUCUUCACGGCCCAUCAGUCCGGCCCAUAACACACAACCCGGACACCCAAGGACCCCUUAAUCCAGGACUCCCUCAGUAGCCCAUGAAAUUGCCUUCAAUGACGAUGUAGUAUCCGGCUUAUAUCUUCGGCUUUGCAAGGCGGGUUCUUCAUUCAUACUUCGGAUUGACAACAGUCUGGCUCUGACCUCGAUGUGCUGCCUUUAUGAUCCCUUCCUGAGGUCGCUUCGAUUUCCGCGCCGAAUGAAUACGAACGGGCCGUGUUUUUUUGCAAAUAAGCCCCUCACCACGCGCGGACGGCAUCUAUAUAAGGAGAUGUAGAUCCCCAAAUGCCAUCCCAUGUCGUGCAAAAGGAAAACCGUCAAGAUUAGCCACGAACAAAGCUUUCCAACAUGGCCAGCGCCCCAGGCUCUUCUUUGCGCCCCCAUGGCCCUCAAGAGGGUGAUUGGCAGAGUUGCUUCGUGCCUCAUCUUCAGCUGAGCCAACUCCAGACACAGGGCUAUCUUCCCCUCACAGAUCUAGUCCCUAUUCGAGCGGGACUGGCCUCAAUCGGCAACGAUGUGAUGUCCGAGAAUUUCCCCAACCCCAAUAAGGAGGAGAGAGUGUGCUUCGUCCAAUUCCUGCUGCGGGGCCUAGGAUUUCCAAUCCAUCCCUUUCUCAGGGGCAUAUUGGAAUUUUACGUCAUCCAACUGCACAACCUUACCCCAGGUUCGAUUCUGCACAUCUCAGGUUUCGUUGCCCUUUGCGAACUAUUCCUCAGCAUUGAGGCCCAUUUUGAAUUAUGGAAGAAGUCCUUUUGCCUCGUUCCUCGCCAUCGAGGAGACUCUAUAUUUGAAGUGGGUGGCGCCGAAGUAUGGCGCAUAGCCGGAUCCGGAUACCUCAUUUGAACUCCCAAAGAGGUGUACCAACAGUGGUCUUCGGAAUGGUUCUAUAUGGACGAUGUCCCACUGCCGGACCCAGUUCGGCGUGGCCUUCCUGAAUUUUCCAGUGCUCCUUUAAAUAAGCGUCUUAACUGGCGUCCCCGAAGUCCCAAGGAAGAAGACAGUGCUGAGAUAAAGAGGUUGGUCAGCAAGGUCAGGCUGCUAGCCCAUACCGAGCUCUCGAUAGUCGAGGUCAUGGCUAUUGCAAUAAAGAGGUGUGUCCAGCCUCUCCAAUCCAGAGUAACUCCCUUAUGGUGUUACAACGGAGAAGAUGGCGCGUCCCAUUACAGGCGGAAGGAUCCGGAUACCCCAGCCGAACUGGCCACAAUCUUGGCCGAUCUGUAUAAGGGUGAGAAAGAAGAUUUUCUCCGCUUAAACUGCCGGGAAGGCUACUCCAUGUACAACCCCAUUGAAUGGGUAAGAUUUUGAUCGUCUGUGUUAUUUUAUUGCUGUUACAGAUACCACUACAAAAAAAGACACAUCCGUGACAUUUUGGGCCGAACGAAAAUCUUUUCUGUCAUACUUAUGACACUUCUAUGACGAUAAUUGUGACAAAAUCCGGUAUCAUCAUAGAUGUGGUGGGGUCCUACUUCUAUGACAAAAGUGAAGGAAAUAUGCCCUAGAGGCAAUAAUAAAGUAUUAUUUAUUUCCUUGUAUCAUGAUAAAUGUUUAUUAUUCAUGCUAGAAUUGUAUUAACCGGAAACAUAAUACAUGUGUGAAUAUAUAGACAAACAGAGUGUCACUAGUAUGCCUCUACUUGACUAGCUCAUUAAUCAAAGAUGGUUAUGUUUCCUAGCCAUAGACAUAAGUUGUCAUUUGAUUAACGAGAUCACCUCAUUAGGAGAAUGACGUGAUUGACUUGACCCAUUCAGUUAGCUUAGCACCCGAUCGUUUAGUAUGUUGCUAUUGCUUUCUUCAUGACUUAUACAUGUUCCUCUGACUAUGAGAUUAUGCAACUCCCGUUUACCGGAGGAACACUUUGUGUGCUACCAAACGUCACAACGUAACUGGGUGAUUAUAAAGGUGCUCUACAGGUGUCUCCAAAGGUACUUGUUGGGUUGGCGUAUUUCGAGAUUGGGAUUUGUCACUCCGAUUGUCGGAGAGGUAUCUCUGGGCUCACUCGGUAAUGCACAUCACUAUAAGCCUUGCAAGCAUUGUGACUAAUGAGUUUGUUGCAAGAUGAUGUAUUACGGAACGAGUAAAGAGACUUGCCGGUAACGAGAUUGAACUAGGUAUUAAGAUACCGACGAUCGAAUCUCGGGCAAGUAACAUACCGAUGACAAAGGGAACAACGUAUGUUGUUAUGCGGUCUGACCGAUAAAGAUCUUCGUAGAAUAUGUGGGAGCCAAUAUGGGCAUCCAGGUCCCGCUAUUGGUUAUUGACCGGAGACGUGUCUCGGUCAUGUCUACAUAGUUCUCGAACCCGUAGGGUCCGCACGCUUAACGUUACGAUGACAGUUUUAUUGAGUUUUGAUGUACCGAAGGAGUUCGGAGUCCCGGAUGAGAUCGGGGAUAUGACGAGGAGUCUCGAAAUGGCCGAGACGUAAAGAUCGAUAUAUUGGACGACUAUAUUCGGACUUCGGAAAGGUUCCGAGUGAUUCGGGUAUUUUUCGGAGUACCGGAGAGUUACGGGAAUACGUAUUAGGCCUUAUUGGGCCAUACGGGAAAGAAGGAAAAUGUCCUCAAGGGUGGCCGCACCCCUCCCCUUGGUCUGGUCCGAAUUGGACUAGGGAAGGGGGGCGCCCCCUUCCUUCCUUCUCUUUUUCCCUUCCUCUUUUCCUAUUCCAUAUGGGAGGUGGAAUCCUACUAGGACUAGGGAGUCCUAGUAGGACUCCACACUUGGUGCGCCCCCUCCUAGGGCCGGCCUCCUCCUCCCUUGCUCCUUUAUAUACGGGGGCAGGGGGCACCCCAGAGACCCAACAAUUGAUCCUUGAGAUCUCUUAGCCGUGUGCGGUGCCCCCCUCCACCAUAUUACACCUCGAUAAUACCGUUGCGGAGCUUAGGCGAAGCCCUGCGUCGGUGGAACAUCAUCAUCGUCACCACGGCGUCGUGCUGACGAAACUCUUCCUCAACACUCGGCUGGAUCGGAGUUUGAGGGACGUAAUCGAGCUGAACGUGUGUAGAACUCGGAGGUGCCGUGCGUUCGGUACUUGAUCGGUCGGAUCGUGAAGACGUACGACUACAUCAACCGCGUUGUGAUAACGCUUCCGCUGUCGGUCUACGAGGGUACGUGGACAACACUCUCCCCUCUCAUUGCUAUGCAUCACCAUGAUCUUGCGUGUGCGUAGGAUUUUUUUUUGAAAUUACUACGUUCCCCAACAGUGGCAUCCGAGCCUGGUUUUAUGCGUUGAUGCUAUGCACGAGUAGAACACAAGUGAGUUGUGGGCGAUAUAAGUCAUACUGCUUACCAGCAUGUCAUACUUUGGUUCAGCGGUAUUGUGAGAUGAAGCGGCCCGGACCGACAUUACGCGUACGCUUACGCGAGACUGGUUUCACCGUUCGGAGCACUCGUUGCUUAAAGGUGACUGCCGGGUGUCUGUCUCCCUCAUUUUAGUUGAACCGAGUGUGGCUACGCCCGGUCCUUGCGAAGGUUAAAACAACACCAACUUGACAAACUAUCGUUGUGGUUUUGAUGCGUAGGUAAGAACGGUUCUUGCUAAGCCCGUAGCAGCCACGUAAAAGAUGCAACAACAAAGUAGAGGACGUCUAACUUGUUUUUGCAGGGCAUGUUGUGAUGUGAUAUGGUCAAGACAUGAUGUGAUAUAAUGUGUUGUAUGAGAUGAUCAUGUUUUGUAACCGAGUUAUCGGCAACUGGCAGGAGCCAUAUGGUUGUCGCUUUAUUGUAUGAGAUGCAAUCGCCAUGUAAUAGUUUUACUUUAUCACUAAGCGGUAGCGAUAGUCGUAAAAGCAAUAAGUUGGCGAGACGACAACGAUACUAUGAUGGAGAUCAAGGUGUCGAGCCGGUGACGAUGGUGAUCAUGACGGUGCUUCGGAGAUGGAGAUCACGAGCACGGUGCUUCGGAGAUGGAGAUCACGAGCACGGUGCUUCGGAGAUGGAGAUCACAAGCACAAGAUGAUGAUGGCCAUAUCAUAUCACUUAUAUGGAUUGCAUGUGAUGUUAAUCCUUAAUGCAUCUUAUCUUGCUUUGAUUGACGGUAGCAUUAUAAGAUGAUCUCUCACUAAAAUUUCAAGAUAAAAGUGUUCUCCCUGAGUAUGCACCGUUGCAAAAGUUCUUCGUGCUGAGACACCACGUGUUAAUCGGGUGUGAUAGGCUCUACGUUCAAAUACAACGGGUGCAAAACAGUUGCACACGCGGAAUACUCAGGUUAAACUUGACGAGCCUAGCAUAUACAUAUAUGGCCUCGGAACACAAAGACCGAAAGGUCGAGCGCGAAUCAUAUAGUAGAUAUGAUCAACAUAGUGAUGUUCACCAUUGAAACUACUCCAUCUCACGUGUUAAUCGGACAUGGUUUAGUUGCUUUGGAUCACGUAAUCACUUAGAUGAUUAGAGGGAUGUCUAUCUAAGUGGGAGUUCUUAAGUAAUAUGAUUAAUUGAACUUAAAUUUAUCAUGAACUUAGUCCUGAUAGUAUUUGGCAAAUUAUGUUGUAGAUCAAUAGCUCGCGUUGUUGCUUCCCUGUUUUAUUUUGAUAUAUUCCUAGAGAAAAUUAUGUUGGAAGAUGUUAGUAGCAAAGAUGCGGAUUGGAUCCGUGAUCUGAGGAUUAUCCUCAUUGCUGCACAGAAAAAUUAUGUCCUUGAUGCACCGCUAGGUGACAGACUUAUUGCAGGAGCAGAUGCAGACGUUAUGAACGUUUGGCUAGCUCAAUAUGAUGACUACUUGAUAGUUUAGUGCACCAUGCUUAACGGCUUAGAAUCGGGACUUCAAAGACGUUUUUAACGUCAUGGACCAUAUAAGAUGUUCCAGGAGUUGAAGUUAAUAUUUCAAGCAAAUACCCGAGUUGAGAGAUAUGAAGUCUCCAACAAGUUCUAUAGCUAAAAGAUGGAGGAGAAUCGCUCAACUAGUGAGCAUGUGCUCAGAUUGUCUGGGUACUACAAUCGCUUGAAUCAAGUGGGAGUUAAUCUUCCAGAUAAAAUAGUGAUUGACAGAAUUAUCUAGUCACCAUAACCAAGUUAGUAGAACUUCGUGAUGAACUAUAGUAUGCAAGGGAUGACGAAAGUAAUUCCCGAGCUCUUCGUGAUGCUGAAAUCGACGAAGGUAGAAAUCAAGAAAAACAUCAAGUGUUGAUGGUUGACAUGACCACUUCAAGUGUUGAUGGUUGACGAGACCACUAGUUUCAAGAAAAGGGCAAAGGGAUAGAAGGGGAACUUCAAAAAGAACGGCAAGCAAGUUGCUACUCAAGUGAAGAAGCCCAAGUCUGUACCUAAGCCUGAGACUAAGUGCUUCUACUGCAAAGGGACUGGUCACUGGAAGCGGAACUACCCCAAGUAUUUGGUGGAUAAGAAAGAUGGCAAAGUGAACAAAGGUAUAUUGGAUAUACAUGUUAUUGAUGUGUACUUACUAGUGUUUAUAGCAACCCCUCAGUAUUUGAUACUGGUUCAGUUGCUAAGAGUAGUAACUCGAAACGGGAGUUGCAGAAUAAACAGAGACUAGUAAAAGGCGAGGUGACGAUGUGUGUUGGAAGUAGUUCCAAGAUUGAUAUGAUCAUCAUCGCACACUCCCUAUACUUUCGGGAUUAGUGUUGAAACUAAAUAAGUGUUAUUUGGUGUUUGCGUUGAGCAUGAAUAUGAUUUGAUCAUGUUUAUUGCAAUACGGUUAUUCAUUUAAGUUAGAGAACAAUUGUUGUUCUGUUUACAUGAAUAAAAACCUUCUAUGGUAAUACACACCAACGAAAAUGGUUUGUUGGAUCUCGAUCGUAGUGAUACACAUAUUCAUAAUAAUGAAGCCAAAAGAUGCAAAGUUAAUAAUAAUAGUGCAACUUAUUUGUGGCACUGCCGUUUAGGUCAUAUUGGUGUAAAGCGCAUGAAGAAACUCCAUACUGAUGGGAUUUUGGAAUCACUUGAUGCUUGCGAACCGUGGCUCAUGGGCAAGAUGACUAAAACGCCGUUCUCCGGAACUAUGGAGAGAGCAACAGAUUUGUUGGAAAUCAUACAUACAGAUGUAUGUGGUCCGAUGAAUAUUGAGGCUCGUAGCGGGUAUGAUUAUUUUCUGACCUUCACACAUGAUUUGAGCAGAUAUGGGUAUAUCUACUUAAUGAAACAGAAGUCUGAAACAUUUGAAAAGUUCAUAUAAUUUCAGAGUUAAGUAGAAAAUCAUCGUAACAAGAAAAAUAAAGUUUCUACGAUUUGAUCGUGGAGAAGAGUAUUUUAGUUACGAGUUUGGCCUUCAGUUAAAACAAUGUGAAAUAGUUUCACUACUCACGCCACCUGGAACACCACAGCAUAAUGGUGUGUCCGAACGUCAUAACCGUACUUUAUUGGAUAUAGUGCAAUCUAUGAUGUCUCUUACCAAUUUACCACUAUCGUUUUAGGGUUAUGCAUUAGAGAUAGCUACAUUCACGUUAAAUAGGGCACCAUCAAAAUCCGUUGAGACGACGCCUUAUGAACUGUGGUUUAGCAAGAAACCAAAGUUGUCGUUUCUUAAAGUUUGGGGUUGCGAUGCUUAUGUGAAAAAGUUUCAUCCUGAUAAGCUCAAACCCAAAUCAGAGAAAUGUGUCUUCAUAGGAUACCCAAACGAGACAGUUGGGUACACCUUCUAUCACAGAUCCGAAGGCAAGACAUUCGUUGCUUAGUAUGGAUCCUUUCUAGAGAAGGAGUUUCUCUCGAAAGAAGUGAGUGGGAGGAAAGUAGAACUUGAUGAGGUAACUGUACCUGCUCCCUUAUUGGAAAGUAGUUCAUCACAGAAAUCUGUUCCUGUGACUUCUACACCAAUUAGUGAGGAAGCUAAUGAUGAUGAUCAUGUAACUUCAGAUCAAGUUACUACCAAACCUCGUAGGUAAACCAGAGUAAGAUCCGCACCAGAGUGGUACGGUAAUCCUGUUCUGGAGGUUAUGUUACUAGACCAUGACGAACCUACGAACUAUGAAGAAGCGAUGGUGAGCCCAGAUUCCGCAAAAUGGCUUGAGGCCAUGAAAUCUGAGAUGAGAUCCAUGUAUGAGAACAAAGUGUGGACUUUGGUUGACUUGCCCGAUGAUCGGCAAGCAAUUGAGAAUAAAUGGAUCGUCAAGAGGAAGACGGACGCUGAUAGUAGUGUUACUAUCUACAAAGCUAGAUUUGUCGCAAAAAGGUUUUUCGACAAGUUCAAGGUGUUGACUACAAUGAGAGUUUCUCACUCGUAUCUAUGCUUAAAAUCUGUCUGAAUCAUGUUAGCAAUUGCCGCAUUUUAUGAAAUAUGGCAAAUGGAUAAACAAAACUACAUUCCUUAAUGGAUUUAUUAAAGAAGAGUUGUAUAUGAUGCAACCAGAAGGUUUUGUCAAUCCUAAAGGUGCUAACAAAAUAUGCAAGCUCCAGCGAUCCAUCUAUGGACUGGUGCAAGCAUCUCGGAGUUGGAAUAUACACUUUGAUAAGUUGAUCAAAGGAUAUAGUUUUAUACAGACUUGCGGUGAAGCCUGUAUUUACCAGAAAGUGAGUGGGAGCACUACAGCAUUUCUGAUAAGUAUAUGUGAAUGACAUAUUGUUGAUCGGAAAUAAUGUAGAAUUAUUCUGCAAAGCAUAAAGGAGUGUUUGAAAGGAGUUUUUCAAAGAAAGACCUCGGUGAAGUUGCUUACAUAUUAAGCAUCAAGAUCCAUAGAGAUAGAUCAAGACGCUUGAUAAGUUUUUCAAUGAGUACAUACCUUAACAAGAUUUUGAAGUGGUUCAAAAUGGAACAGUCAAAGAAAGAGUUUCUUGCCUGUGUUACAAGGUGUGAAAUUGAGUAAGACUCAAAGCCCGACCACAGCAGAAUAUAGAAAAAGAAUGAAAAUCAUUCCCUAUGCCUCGGCCAUAGGUUCUAUAAAGUAUGCCAUACUAUGUACCAGAUCUAUUGUAUACCCUACACUGAUUUUAGCAAGGGAGUACAAUAGUGAUCUAGGAGUAGAUCACUGGACAGCGGUCAAAAUUAUCCUUAGUGGAAUAAGGAUAUGUUUCUCGAUUAUGGAGGUGACAAAAAGAGUUCGUCGUAAAGAGUUACGUCAAUGCAAAUUUUGACACUGAUCCAGAUGACUCUAAGUCUCAAUCUGGAUACAUAUUAAAAGUGGGAGCAAUUAGCUAGAGUAGCUCCGUACUGAGCAUUGUAGACAUAGAAAUUUGCAAAAUACUUACGGAUCUGAAUGUGACAGACCCGUUGACUAAAAUUAUCUCACAAGCAAAACAUGAUCACACCUUAGUACUCUUUGGGUGUUAAUCACAUAGCGAUGUGAACUAGAUUACUGACUCUAGUAAACCCUUUGGGUGUUGAUCACAUGACGAUGUGAACUAUGGGUGUUAAUCACAUGGUGAUGUGAACUAUUGAUGUUAAAUCACAUGGCGAUGUGAACUAGAUUAUUGACUCUAGUGCAAGUGAGAGACUGAAGGAAAUAUGCCCUAGAGGCAAUAAUAAAGUAUUAUUUAUUUCCUUGUAUCAUGAUAAAUGUUUAUUAUUCAUGCUAGAAUUGUAUUAACCGGAAACAUAAUACAUGUGUGAAUAUAUAGACAAACAGAGUGUCACUAGUAUGCCUCUACUUGACUAGCUCAUUAAUCAAAGAUGGUUAUGUUUCCUAGCCAUAGACAUAAGUUGUCAUUUGAUUAACGAGAUCACCUCAUUAGGAGAAUGACGUGAUUGACUUGACCCAUUCAGUUAGCUUAGCACCCGAUCGUUUAGUAUGUUGCUAUUGCUUUCUUCAUGACUUAUACAUGUUCCUCUGACUAUGAGAUUAUGCAACUCCCGUUUACCGGAGGAACACUUUGUGUGCUACCAAACGUCACAACGUAAAUGGGUGAUUAUAAAGGUGCUCUACAGGUGUCUCCAAAGGUACUUGUUGGGUUGGCGUAUUUCGAGAUUAGGAUUUGUCACUCCAAUUGUCGGAGAGGUAUCUCUGGGCUCACUCGGUAAUGCACAUCACUAUAAGCCUUGCAAGCAUUGUGACUAAUGAGUUAGUUGCGGGAUGAUGUGUUAUGGAACGAGUAAAGAGACUUGCCGGUAACGAGAUUGAACUAGGUAUCGAGAUACCGACGAUCAAAUCUCGGGCAAGUAACAUACCGGUGACAAAGGGAACAACGUAUGUUGUUAUGCGGUCUGACCGAUAAAAAUCUUCGUAGAAUAUGUGGGAGCCAAUAUGGGCAUCCAGGUCCCGCUAUUGGUUAUAGACCGGAGACGUGUCUCGGUCAUGUCUACAUAGUUCUCGAACCCGUAGGGUCCGCACGCUUAACGUUACGAUGACAGUUUUAUUGAGUUUUGAUGUACCGAAGGAGUUCGGAGUCCCGGAUGAGAUCGGGGAUAUGACUAGGAGUCUCGAAAUGGCCGAGACGUAAAGAUCGAUAUAUUGCACGACUAUAUUCGGACUUCGGAAAGGUUCCGAGUGAUUCGGGUAUUUUUCGGAGUACCGGAGAGUUACGGGAAUACGUAUUAGGCCUUAUUGGGCCAUACGGGAAAGAAGGAAAAGGGCCUCAAGGGUGGCCGCACCCCUCCCCUUGGUCUGGUCCGAAUUGGACUAGGGAAGGGGGGUGCCCCCUUCCUUCCUUCUCUUUUUCCCUUCCUCUUUUCCUAUUCCAUAUGGGAGGUGGAAUCCUACUAGGACUAGGGAGUCCUAGUAGGACUCCACACUUGGUGCGCCCCCUCCUAGGGCCGGCCUCCUCCUCCCUUGCUCCUUUAUAUACGGGGGCAGGGGGCACCCCAGAGACACAACAAUUGAUCCUUGAGAUCUCUUAGCCGUGUGCGGUGCCCCCCUCCACCAUAUUACACCUCGAUAAUACCGUUGCGGAGCUUAGGCGAAGCCCUGCGUCGGUGGAACAUCAUCAUCGUCACCACGCCGUCGUGCUGACGAAACUCUCCCUCAACACUCGGCUGGAUCGGAGUUCGAGGGACGUCAUCGAGCUGAACGUGUGUAGAACUCGGAGGUGCCGUGCGUUCGGUACUUGAUCGGUCGGAUCGUGAAGAUGUACGACUACAUCAACCGUGUUGUGAUAACGUGGACAACACUCUCCCCUCUCGUUGCUAUGCAUCACCAUGAUCUUGCGUGUGCGUAGGAAUUUUUUUUGAAAUUACUACGUUCCCCAACAAAAAGAUCAUGACAGAAAAUGGGCUUUUCGUCCUGGGCGGGCCGGAGACGCAGCUGCAUGACAUUAUUUGGGCCGUCCAUGACGGAAAAAACCGUUGUAGAAGCGAGGGCGCGGAAAAUAUCGAGGAAUCCCCGGUUACGGUGGGUGGUCGGGGGCCGAGCGAAGCGCGUUUCUCUCGUACGUACGCGCGUGUGUGCGAGGCGUUGGGCUCUAACUGAACCCGAGCGAUUACACUGCAGGCUACGCGUUACUGAACCCGAGCGAUCGAUCGAUGGCUGAUAACUGAACCCGAUCGAGCGAUUCCUUCGCUACUGCUGCUAACUGAAGCCGAUCGAUGCUGCCUCUGGAUGAACAGUGAGCGUUGCUGGGGGGUUUGGAUGAACAGUUCCUGGUGGGGGUGGAUGAACAGGACCCCGUGGCGUUGCCUCUGGAUGAACAGUGAGCGUUGCUGGGGGGUUUGGAUGAACAGUUCCCGGUGGGAGUGGAUGAACAGGACCCCGAUCGUUCGAGCCGGUUGGGGCUGGAUGAACAGGACCCCGUGGAGGGCAGGAUGAACAGGACCACCCCGUGGAGGGCAGGAUGAACAGUAGACGGUGGAGGGCUAGAUGAACAGUAGCCCGUGGAGGGGUGGUUGAACAGGAGCCCGUGGAGAGGGCUGGUUGAACAGUAGCUGGUGGAGUAGCGCGCGGUGGAGGCUGGAUGAACAGGAGCCCGUGGAUGAACAGUCGCAGGUGGAGGCUGGAGGAGGUCGACGGUGGAUGAACAGUAGCCCGUGGAGGCUGGAGGGGGUCGAUGGUGGAGAUGAACAAUAUCCCGUGGAGUCCCGUUUUCCGGUACGCCACACCCCUCCCGAUGAACAGGACCCCCGUUUCGACCGUAGCGCUCCAACACAAGUCCGUUUCCUCCGUUUUGCAGUACGCCACACCACUCCCGAUCAACAGGACCCCCGUUGCGACCGUAGGAGGUCCGUUUCCUCUAUUUUGCGGUACGCCAGACCCCUCCCGAUGAAUAGGAUCCCGUUUCGAACGUGGCCGGUCGAACACAAGGCCAUUUCCUCCAUUCUGUGGCACGCCAGGCCUCGUUUCCAUCGGCUGUUCCGUCCAAGCCGGUUGGCUCCCACGCGUUCCGUUUUCUCCCGAUGAACACGACGCAUUCCGUUGCCUCCCCAUGAACACGACGACGAUGUUGUUUCUCUGUUCCGACCCAGCCAUGUACACGAGCCCUGGCCGUACGUACGCGCGAGUAGGCUUUCGAGAUCCCGUCCGUAUGUACAUACGUGGAUGUAUUUACUUUCUUGCACCCUGGCCGCUGUACGUACGUGUACAUGCUACGUGUGCGCCUCUACUAUGACACGUGCGCACCUCUACAUUGAUCAGUAUGUACGUACACGUUCGCGACCAAAAUGACAACGCUACGUACGCUUCGACCAGGUGGGUCCCGACUGUCAGGCACUUCCUUGCCUGCGAAGAUGUAGCUGGUGGGUCCUAGCAGUCAGGGGGGCGAAUCAUUUUUUUGCCCGGACGCACUUCCUUGCAUGGGAAGAUGUAGCUGGUGGGUCCCAGCAGUCAGGGGGAAACAUUUUUUCGCGAAAUACGAUGGCCCGUCCGGUGGGUCCCCGCUGUCAGGUGGAGGAAUAAUUAUUUUGCGCGUAAUAAGGAGGCACUUCCUUACUGCGGCCGUGGACCCAACUGUCAGCCUCUCCACGUACAGUCCACAUCCAAUGGAAGCCGUUCCUUAACCACGUUGACCACGCCGCGCCGAGAGCACCAGGGCGGUGGACGGCGGCGAGGCCUAGGAAGGGGACGACGCGGAGCCGGGGAAAACGGGGCAGUGGAAGCCCGCGCGGAGAGGAGUACGAGGGUUCACUGGUUCGGUUGCGGUGUGAGGCUGCCGUCACCGCAGGGCCUGGCCAGCGGUGAGAAUAGUAGGGGGCGGUGAGGCCUCCGCGGCAGCACAGCCGGCCACGGGAGGCAGGAGCAUGCGGCACGACCGGCGCUGCUUUGGACGGCUGGAGCAACAAGACCAGAGGUUGAAGAAGCACUACGGCCGUUGGAUGGUGCUACCUCUUGAGCACUGCGUUUGUUUUCCCUUGAAGAGGAAAGGGUGAUGCAGCAAAGUAGCGUAAGUAUUUCCCUCAGUUUUUGAGAACCAAGGUAUCAAUCCAGUAGGAGGCCACGCACGAGUCCCUCGCACCUACACAAACAAAUAAAUCCUCGCAACCAACGCGGUAAGGGGUUGUCAAUCCCUACACGGUCACUUACGAGAGUGAGAUCUGAUAGAUAUGAUAGGAUAAUAUUUUUGGUAUUUUUAUGAUAAAGAUGCAAAGUAAAAUAGAAGCAAAAUAAAAGGCAACGGAAAUAACUUGUUGAUGGGAGAUUAAUAUGAUGGAAAAUAGGCCCGGGGGCCAUAGGUUUCACUAGUGGCUUCUCUCGAGGGCAUAAGUAUUUACGGUGGGUGAACAAAUUACUGUUGAGCAAUUGACAGAAUUGAGCAUAGUUAUGAGAAUAUCUAGGUAUGAUCAUGUAUAUAGGCAUCACGUUCGAGACAAGUAGACCGACUCCUGCCUGCAUCUACUACUAUUACUCCACACAUCGACCGCUAUCCAGCAUGCAUCUAGAGUAUUAAGUUCAUAAGAACAGAGUAACGCUUUAAGCAAGAUGACAUGAUGUAGAGGGAUAAACUCAUGCAAUAUGAUAUAAACCCCAUCUUGUUAUCCUCGAUGGCAACAAUACAAUACGUGCCUUGCUGCCCCUACUGUCACUAGGAAAGGACACCGCAA